UUUUUUUUUGUAAAUUUCACCUUGCGUGAUCGUCUGCCUAGUCGAGCUACGCUUCUGCCGCAGGUUCUUCAGCAGUACAAAGCUGAAACCACCCAGCCGAAAUGGAGACCUUGCUGUCACUUUGCUUCACCACAACAUAAGCACGUACGGCUUGUUCCUUAAAAGUUGGAGACCAUGACCGAAUUCUCUUUUUUGCUGGAAAGAUCACGGUUGAUUAAUGCGGCGAUCUAGCCGAGUACUUCAAGGUUCACACGGAUCGGCCUGAAUUAAGCUCAGGCCACCAAUUUGGCUUGUCUUUACUAAUUAUCCUCCGAUGAUUUUUUUUCUUCAACAGUUAGUAGGUAGUAGGCUGUUUUCAUCAAGGAGCAGUGGUCAAUAAUCAAAUAUGAUCACUCUCAUAUUUGCCUUGAACAAUUGUUCGAUUUGGCACAUCAAAGGGAUCUUGUUACGAGCUGAGCUCAGAGAGGUCGUAAGCAAGCACAAUAGCAGAAACAUGCACAUUCAUAUACAACAUAGUGGCAAAACUUUUCAUCAUCGUCAUGUUACAAUCAGGAGCAGCCGCCGGCCGGCCGGCGAGGUCUCAAGCCAAGCCCGGUUGCUGGAGGCAGGAACAGAGGACCUAUACAUGCCUAAUUGGGCCCCCAGCAGCUGAGGUACAUGACGGUCCUCAUGCCCUCCUCCGCGUUGUCCGCCCGCCUCCUUUCCGCCGCCGGGGCCAGCUUCUUGGCCUGCGCGAAGCUGGGGACGUUGGCCUUGGCGGCCUGGUGGACGGAGCGCAGCGCGUAGUUCCAGCGGCAGAGGCCCGCCUGGUCCUUGAGCGUCUCCACGGCGCCCACGCUCAUCGCCACCAUCCAAGACGCCUUCGCCGCCGCCGCCAUGUCCUUCUCCUCUUUCUCGGGGUCUCGCAGGUCUUGGUGGGCUAGAGAGCGAGCUCUGCUGGUGAUCGUUGCAGUGCUGUGACUGUGAUACUGAGGUUGUGAUUGAUGCUUGUGUUGUGGUGGAGGCGGGGGUGGGUUGAUAUAUAGCGGAGGGACGCCGGCGGAAACAGGCGGCCGCGGACGAUGGUUUCCCCGGAUACCGGGGGCCCCGCACCGGCCCAGCUGCGCACGUACGGAGCACCUCGUCUUGUUUAUUCGGGGGCAGAAACGGACGCCGCGUCACUGUCCCACUGGCCACUGGCACAAUGCAUCUUUGUAUCUAGACUACUGUUUGAGCUAGAGAUGUGUGCUGGCUACAAAUUUACAUUUCAACUUGAAGCAAACUGCGUGUGGUGGCCGGCCGGUGUAUUGUCCUGCUUUCAGCGAACAGGAUGAGGGAUCUGCCAGAAUUUACAAAUCUUUCAUGCGAGGUUUCUAAAACUCACUCGAGGCGUCCAGGAAUCUUCUUCUGGCCAUCGUGGAGAGCCGCACUGAUUAAACUAAUCCGUUUUUACGCGCUGAAUCAAUCACAUGGGUUAGCUGCAGAUUUUACCGCGUGAUCUUGGACCAGCAGCGACUGACGUCCUGAUCGGUUCUCUGGGCAUUAAAAAUAAGUCUCAACGUAGGGAUAAAAAUAAGUUCCACACUAUUUGAUUAUAUGACUUAAAUCAUUAAAUAUGAUGGUGCAAAAUCAGUUAUACCCAUGAUUUCCUACCUCUGCUCAUUCCCGACGACCAAACGGGACACCAAGUGGGAGAACAUGAUCCACGACCUCGGCGUCGACGACGAUACCCACACCAUCAAGAGGGUCGUCGCCAUUAAUAUCGCCGACGCUGGAUUCCGCCACGGAGAAGCCGCAUGAAGAGGUCGGCGGGCACCGGCUGCUGAGAAAGCUGGACUUCUAGCUCUACUUCUUCAGCUACAUGUUCAGCGGCACCCUAGGUCUGGUGUUCCAGAACAAUCUGAAACAGAUCACCGAGUCGCGACGGCUCGCGAAGACUCCCACUCUGGUCUCGCUGUCGUCUUCGUUUGGAUUCUUUGGCCGCCUGCUUCCCUCCUUCUUAGGCUACUACUUCGUGGUGGCGGGCUGAGGAUGCCGAGCGCCGACGGCGGCGGGGCAAGAAGCUGAGGAAGGAGGGGGAAGGGGAGCAGCCAUGACAAGUACGACAGCGAUUGAGGGCGGCCUGGGAUUGGGGAGGGGUGGCUCAUGAGAGGUACCCUAUGGCAAAAGCUCCUAUAAAGUGAGUCUCGGUGCACAGUUUUAUGGCAUAGUUAUCAAGACUAGAAACUAGGUAACAGUUUUAUGGCAUAGUAAUUAAGAUUGGAAACUACGUAACUGUACCAGAUAAGUUUUAUGGUGACGAAACUCCUCUCACACCCCAUAAAACUUUCUCCUUCUCUCUCCUCACUAUGUCAACAAAAUUGAUGAUGUGGUAUAAAAUUUAAUGCUACGAAACUCUCCCUGAAACCCCGUUGAAACUGGCCUGAUCAAUAUUUUUGUGACUUAUGGGCUUAUAGACCAUAAGUUUCAAUAAAUCAUCAUAUUUGGUAUUUUAAAAAUUUAUUGGAACUUAAUCUAAAUUUCAAUCCAUAAACCAAAUCAAACCAAACAGGAUCUGACCGUCAGAGCGCGACAUUGUGGGAUAACCGGGCGCCAUGGGACAUGGUUUCCAACCAGGAUACCACGGGCUGUAUAUCCACUGUCCAUUGGAGCGUUUGCUCAUGCAAUUUUUGUAACCAAAAAAACAUGCUGCUACUUGAACACACACUGUGCUGUGGCCUGUAUCUCAGAGUCAUCAAGCAAGGCCUGUUUAGUUCGUUGCGUGUAAACGCAAAAAAAAGUUUUUACAAAAGAAUCUUGUCAAUUUAAAGUACUAAAUGAAGUCUAUUUAUAAAUUUUUUUUGCACAGAUGGGUUGUAAAUCGCGAGAUGAAUCUAAUGAUGCUAAUUAAUCCAUGAUUAAGUGAAGCGUCCCCCCAUCCGGGAAGACUUAAAAGUGUUGCUUUAUCAGUCCCAGGAGGCUGAUAACAGUUUUAUUACAUCAGAUGGUACAUCACCGUACAACUCUACGCCGUAAUGGGCAGUGAAGCGCCACUAUCGCGAGGAUUACAACUAAAACCCACACUACUACACUAGCUACGAAAAGAGGAUCAUCAGAGUCUUGCGCCAUGCGGAACUCCAACGGUGGCCUUAUCCACAGGCAAGACUGGGUGCAGGACGAAACCCUACUCAAUGUCUUCGGGGACGUAGUCGGGGUCUUCCACUGUAAAAGUGAGAAUGGGGUGAGUACAAACGUACUCAGCAAGUCCAAUCACACCCACGGAGGGGGAUAUAACAGAAUUUAAUGCACAGGAUAAUCUAAGGAUAAGGUUAUGGUUCAUUUGCAGAAAACUCGAUUAUAUGCAGGGGUUUGUUUUAAAAGCAUUUUCAAAACAAGUUUUUCAGUACCAAGGAGCACACGGUGUUGAUCCUCACGGAUUCAAGUUUUAAACUACUACCGGACUCCCCGUCCGCCGUAGCAUACGGCACAACUGCCGGACACUUUCCAAACAACUCACGCCAGCCCAAUCAUUCCCAGAGAAAAACACUAGUUAUGUGACCACACCAUAACUUGCCCAAUACCGUGGGCACGGCUAUUCGAAUAGAUUUUAACUCUGCAGAGGUGUGCAACUUUACCCACAGGUGGGGUACCACAACACGAUCACCUUAGUGUCGGUGCAGAUCCCAACAAAGCCAUUACCCACCUUAGUUAGACCUGACUAGCCACCACGGGAUCCAUCAAGAGGUCAUUCGACCUAUCUCCGAGGUUUAACCGGGGCAUAAGUCACACAGAGCUUAUCCCUUCUCCUUGAUCACCCGUUGCUCUCAGCUCUCCUGAUGGCUAUCAGUCUAACUAGUGGGAUUUAUGCUAAGCCGUUGCCCAUACAACGGUCAAGUGGUUUGCACGACAGGAAGGUAGGUGAGAUGACACAUCAACUCGGUCCUUAGGGUUGACAGGAUGGAUAUCUCCCUUCCUUGCCCUACCACACAGGUACGAGCACACCAACGGCAAUUCACACAGAAAUGCCAUCCAUCCCGUCCGACUCGUCUUUCAAAACCACAUUUUACCCUUUCCCACACACACGCAUUUUCUUUAUAAAAUUAGAUGUUCAAGGUAUGGUUAUCACAACAAGGGUGGCUAUCCUACCAUGUUUACGGCAUGCAAAACCAUGCAAACCUUAUAAAACAGGCCACUGGGUUGUGUUUAUAAAAACUAGGACAGAAACAUGCAUCAAAGGGCGGGAUUGAACUUGCCAUCGUCAAGUCCUUGCGGGAGGUCCCGAUCGAAGCACUGUCCCUCGGGUUCGGGGUCGCAGAACUGGUCCUCGGUUGCUUGGUCGCAGUCGGGAACUUCUCCGUUCACUCCGUGCCCUACGACGCAAACAAACAGGCAUGCAAUCAAGCGAGAGAACUAAAAGCUUUUAUCGUUGAGCUUGAAUCGGAAAUAAUUUAGUUACGGAGGUAGGGGUAAUGUUUUUGGGUGGUUUCUUAAUGGCAUGGUUAGAACUAUACUAGAAAGGGCGUGGUAAAGUUUUAGGUCGAUCGGAGGUUGUUUGGCGCAUAAAAUGACGAGGUAAAGGGGUUUCAGGGGCUAAACAGGGGUCCCGGGGGCUCGUUUGCAAUUACCCGGAGGGGGUAAGGACCUUUCCACGAAUCCUAAAAAUACUCAGGACAUGCUAAAGGGUGUCGUGCGUAUCUAGGUUUGUGUAAUGGAGGGUUCAAUUUGAAAUAACAAAAAGGGCGAGGUUUCUUUUGCAAAGAGGGAGUGGAUAGGGGUGCUCCUAGAGAGGGGGGGGGGGAGGUUUGGGAAAUACAGGGAAGGGGAGGGGGCUCUGGGCAAAAAGGCCCUUCUCCUUCCUCUCCCCCGUUCAGAGCAGAGGAGGGGGAUGGGGGCGCCGGCGCCCGGCCGAUUCCGGCCAGCCGGGGCCCGGGGCGGCUCGGGGAUUGGGGGAAAAGGAAGAGGGGAAGGAGGGGAUCCCAUCCCCGUCCUUACCUUGGGCCGAGGUGGAGCGGGGAGGCGCGCCCACGGGAGCAGGCGGGCGGCGGUGGUGCCACGGGCGGCGGCGGCGCUGCGAGCUAGGAGAGGAGGCGCGCGGUGGAGAGGGCGGUGGUGGUGGUCGGGGCUGCGCGGGGGGGUUCUAUUUAUAGGCCGGGGGAAGGGCGGUGGAGGGGGUCUCGGCCGGCGGCUCCGCGGGCGCCAUUAAUGGCGUUUUGGCCGCUCGCGGCAGCCGUGGCGCGGUGGCGAGGGCGCUGGGCACCGCACGUGGGGGGGGGGUUAGGUGCUGUGCGGCCACAGUGGCGAGCACGCGUGCGGGGUGCGGCAGGGGAGGCAGCGGCGGGCAGUGCGGCUGGCGACGGGCGGCGCGGCCGUGGCGCGGGGGUGGGCACGCGCGUGCGCGCGUGACGCGGCGCGGCGCACGGCCACGCGGGGCACGCGGGGCACGCGGGGGCGAGCGCGUGCGCGCGGCACGGCCGGGGCAGCGCAGGCGCACGGCCUGGGCGGCGCUCGGGCACACGGCAGGGGAAGGAAAGAGAGAAGGGAGGAAGGGGGAAGAAGGAAAGAAAAAGGAAAGAAAAGGAAAGGAGGGAAAGGAAAGGAAAGGAAAGAAGGAAGGAGAAAGAGGGAUUGGGGGAAAAAGAAAAGAAGAAAAGAGAUGGGGGAGAGGAAAAAGGGAAAAGGAGAGGGAGAGAGAGGGGGGGGGGCGCGUCGGCGCCGAUCGCGGCGGCGACCGCGGCCGGUCGGCCACGCGCACGCGGCAUUCGCGCGCUGCGCGGGGAGAAAGGAAUCGCGCCGGCACUAAUCGCGGCAGGUGGCCACGCGUGGGCGGCAGGCCACCGAGCGGCGCGGGAUGGGACGGCGAAGAGGGUACGGCCAUCGGAAAAGGGGCUGGGUCAACAGCUGGAGCCGAGCGUCUGGUCGGUGAAGUGUCCGGGAGGCGAUUAGGGUGCCAACGCUUUGAACAAAACAUCUUAGCGCGUAAUUUAAUUUGGUAAAUUUUCAGGGCGUCACAUUAAGCAAUAAUUAGCGGAUGGUUACUGUAGCAUCACCGUUGCAAAAUAUGGAUUAAGUAGGUUCAUUAGAUUCGUCUCGCGAUUUACAGCCCAUCCAUGCAAAAGAUUUUGUAAAUAGACUUCAUUUAGUAUUUCAAAUUAGUAAGAUUCCUUCGAAAAUUUUGCGUUUACGGUUUUUUUGCGUUUACGGCCUGGGAACUAACAGAGCCCAAACUUCAUGGAAACAAUCAGACAUGAAACCGGCCUCUCGUCAUCAUCACGCUUUCCCUGUCAUGACGGUCCUGUGGGAUCGUUCUAUGCUUCUUGAGCAGGUUGAUUACUGCAUACUUACUAGAAACUGCAAACCAGAAUGGAGUGGAGGCCGUCCUGUUACUUUGCUUCGCCGCAAAAUAAGUACGGGCUUCCCCUAAAAACUCGGAGAUCAUGUCUGAAGUAUACAUUUUAACAUGAGAUCAUGGUUAACUAGCAUGGAUCAUUACCUUGUAGACUAGUUAACGAGCACUCUCUCCGUCCCAAAUUACAAUUCAUUUUGAAUUACUUAGAUCUAUAAUUUUUCGUUUUGGAUUAUUUAGGUUUUUCGUUUUGGAUUAUUUAGUUGUAGUUUUUGUAUAUAUUUAGAUAUAAAGUGAUGCAUAGCAAAAUAUAUGAAUCUAAGAAGUUAAAAUGAAUUGUAGUUUGAGAUGGAGGAAGCCAAAACAGAUUAUAAUUUAGGACGGAGAGAAUUGUAAUUCGAAAUGGAGAAUUGUAGUUUGGGAUGAAGGGAGCCAAAAGGAUGAAUUGUAAUUUGGGAUUGCAUGGCCGAUAGGAUGGGAGGAGUGCAUGGCCGAUACAGACUGGCCUGAAAUUAAGCUCAGGACACCACUUGGUUUGUCCUUGUUACCAUUACCAUUUUUCUUCGAGAGGUCAUCAAAGAGCAGAGUUCAGAACCUGAGUUUAUCGUCUUACAUUUGCCCUGAGCCCAUGAGCGAUUGUUCUACAUUCGCACGCCUAAGCGUCGAACCACACGAAAGUCUUUGUUGUGAGCGCAACGAGAUCGCACAGUAGCAGAAGCAUUCAUAUACUCGAAUGAAGUAGCACAACUUUUCAUCAUCAUCAUCGUGUAUCUACAAUCAGGAGGAGCAACCGGCCAGGAUUGAAGACAAGCUCGGCUGCUCAAAGCUGAAACAGAGAGAGAACCUAAUCACGCCUAAUUAGGACCCCAGCAGCUGAGGUACAUGACGGUCCUCAUGCCCUCCUCGGCCUUGUCCGCCCGCCUCCUCUCCGCCGCCGGGGCCAGCUUCUUGGCCUGCGCGAAGCUGGGAGCGUUGGCCUUGGCGGCCCGGUGGAUGGAGCGCAGCGCGUAGUUCCAGCGGCAGAGGCCGGCCUGGUCCUUGAGCGCCUCCACGGCGCCCACGCUCAUGGCCACUAUCCACGACGCCUUCGCCGCACCCGCCAUGUCCUUCUUCCUCGGAGCUUAGCUUAGCUUAGGACUUGCCUGCCUCGAGAGAUCGCUCGCUGGUCGCUGGAGUGAGGUUGUGUGAAUUGUGAUGCUGUUAUGCUGAGACUUGAGAUUUGAGAGAUGAUCGGGUGGGGUGCGUGGGUUAAUAUAGCUGGGGGAGCGCCGGCGAAACAGGCGGCGGCGGGCGCUGGUUUCCCAGCAUACCGGGGGCUCUAGGUUUGUCCGUUUGCGCGCCCACCAUACCGCUUUCGUCGGCGCCGGCCCAGUGGCUCCACUCGUCUCUCGUAUUGGGGUGGCGGCGGGCCCACGCCCCAUAAUAACCCACCAGAUUUUUUUUUGAGAGGAAUAACCCACCAGAUAAGGAAGCUUGCCGCGGAGGUGCAGAGAAAUGAAACGUCCGGAUCGUUGUUUGAUGGGCUGCUGUCAAGGCCCACGGUGCUGCUCUAUGCACAUACUGGGCCUUAAGCAUGACAGCCCAUUUAAGGCCCGUCGUCUACCUCGUGUGUACGUGCCAGAGGCAACGUUAUCCGCAUCACCCUUUCUUCUCCCUCCGCAAGCGCGCAACCAUUUGUCGUCCCGUCGUCCGCUCCAUCCGAGGCAGGAAACAGCAGCAACUCACCGCCGCAGCAGAAGGGGGGGUGCUCGCUCAACACCGAUCGGCUUGCAGCUCCCAAGCGAUAUGCAGAACAUGAUCAGCGCCUGCAAGCCGCAUCAGUCGCAACCGCCAGCGGCGCUCCUGCCGCCGCCGAGGCCGGUGCUGCCCGGACGAGCAGCGUUCCCCCGCCUUCCAGGUCGAGAUUCGAGACCGGGUGACGAAUUUGCAUGCGUCUGAUCCGUAGCUUGUUCCAUGGUCUGUUCCUCCUGUAACCAACCACUAACCUGACUGCAUGUCAUGUGCGAUUGCAGCAAGGGAUACAACCUCGCGGCUGGUGGUCAGGAGGAGAUGCCAGGAGGAGGACAAGCAGCAGCAGCAGCAGCAGCAGCAGGAGCAAGAAGCGGCGGAGGGAAGCGGCGCCGACGAGCAGGAGAGGAGGACCUUCCUGAGCCUGGAGGAGGCCGGGCUGGUGGAGAUGUCCGGCCUCAGCACGCACGAGCGCUUCCUCUGCCGCCUCACCGUAAGUCCAGCCGAGACGAGGCAUCGAUGGGUGAUCCAAUGGCGGCCACUUGACUUGUGUGCGUGUGCCGCAGAUAUCGUCUCUGAAUCUGCUGAGGGUGAUCUCGGAGCAGGAGGGCGUCCCGAUAGAGGAGCUCAACGCCGGCCGCGUCUGCGACUGGUUCAUCAAGGACAAACUCAAGAGGGAGCAGAACAUCGGCACCGCCGUCCUGCAGUGGGACGACCCUGGCCUCUAGCUUCAUCCUAGGGCUACGCUGUUUAUCUUGCUGCACGGGAGGAUGCAAUGCACGGGCUAUGGUGGAAUAGAGAUUUUUGUUUCAGCGCCCUUUGCUGGAUGCCAUGAUCAAUGAACUAGAUGAGCUUGAUGACAUGUUCACUUUGUAUUCAGUCUUGAUCAUACCUGUAUUCUGUUGUUGCAUCACAAUACCUGGAGGGUUCCCUUCAGGGUCAACUUCCUUGAUAUGUAUGGUUCAGGCCCUUUUCGGGUGAGCAACCAAAGCUACAAGUUCAGUAUUUUUACGAGCCGUGAAGAUCACUCACAAUUGGAUCAAAUCUAGUUACGAAAAAAAAUAAUUUCAUGCCUUCUCGUCAGAACUUUCGAUUUGGUUUCAUGUUUGCAAAAUUUCUGUAGCGUCGGACAAUUUCCCGGGGAGCAAAAUACAGGCAAACUGACACGGACGCAGUCAUGGCCUCAUGGGGCGAGGCAAACAUCAGAAACGCCUGCCCCGCUCAUUUCGUCGAACACCUGCCGCGCGUCUCCUCUUUGCCGCCGACGCACUCCUCCGAUGCGCCGCUUCUGCCACGUCCCUCGCGGCCGGCGGGCGUCCACCGCGCCCCACGACCAUCAGCCACUCCCGCCGCCCGAGUGGAUCGAGCCGUACCCGGACCUCGCGGACCCGAGCCCGUACGCCUCCGCCUCGUCCGCGCCGCCCACCCCGUCGCCGUGGCUGCCCCGCGUGAUCUCCCUCGUCCUCCGCUCCCCGCCCGCCACCCUCGCCGCCGACCUCCGCGCCUUCUGCAAGACCUUCCUCAUCCGCCUCUCCCCGGCCUUCGUCGCCGCCGCGCUCCGGUCCCCGCAGCUCAACUCCUGCCCGCUGCCGUCGCUCCACUUCUUCCGGUCCCUGCCCAACGGCGCCGACCUGCUCGCCCACCCGCAGAGCCUCCUCAGCUGCUACGUGUCCCUCCUCCACUCCUUUGCCCGCUCCAGGGACGCCGCCCCAGAUGCUGUCGGUCAGGUGCGGCUGCUCGUCGCCGAGCUGCGAGCGCACGGGGACGCCGUCCUGCAGCACCUCACUCCGGCGUCGUCGGCAUCGCUGAUCCGCAGUCUGGCCGCACUCGGCCUAUCCGAGGAGCUACUGUGGGCGUGGCAGGCCAUGCGCCUCGCCGGCGUCGAGCCGUCCAGGCUCACCUACAACUGCCUCCUGGAUGGUCUGGUUAACGCCGGCCUCCUAGACACUGCCAUCAACGUGUUCGACGCAAUGUCCACGGAGGAUCGGGUGCGUCCUGACGUGGUUUCCUACAACAUUCUCAUCAAGGGGUACUGCCGCGCGGGGAGGACACAAGAUGCAAUGACACGUUUUGCAGAUAUGCGGGAACAUGCAGAGCUCGCGCCGGACAAGGUCACAUACCUUACUCUCAUGCAGCGGCAUUACAGUGAAGGCACGUUUCCACAAUGCAUAGCACGGUUCCAAGAGAUGGAAGAGAGGGGAAUGGGGAAGGAGAUACCUCAGCAUGCUUAUGUGCUGGUGAUUGGAGCGCUCUGCAAGGACGGGAAACCAUUCGAGGGGAUGGCAGUGUUUGAGAGGAUGCUGAAGCGAGGGUGUCCUGCCAAUGCAGCCAUGUACACUGCACUCAUUGACUCGAUGGGUAAGUUUGGGAGGGAGAAAGAGGCAAUGGCACUCUUUGAGAGGAUGAAAGCCAGUGGAAUUGAGCUUGAUGCGGUAACAUAUGGUGUGGUUGUUAAUUGCUUGUGCCGAUUUGGCAAUAUGGAUGAGGCACUUGCAUGCUUCAGGAGUUGUGUAGAGAAGGGUGUUGCAGUGAAUGCCAUUUUCUAUACAAGCCUAAUUGAUGGCUUUGGAAAAGCUGGGAUAGUUGACCAGGCACAGGAGCUCUUCAUGGAGAUGGUGUCUAAAGGUUUUGUGCCUGACUCAUAUUGUUACAACGUUCUGAUUGAUGCAUUAGUCAAAGCAGGAAGAACAGAUGAUGCUUGUGCUUUAUACAAGAGAAUGGAAGACGAUGGUUGUGAUCAAACAGUCUACACAUAUACCAUACUCAUUGACGGUUUGUUCAAGGAACACAAGAAUGAGGAGGCCCUGAAGUUCUGGGACAGCAUGAUUGACAAAGGAAUCACCCCCACUGCUGCAGCUUUCAGGGUCCUAGCCAAUGGACUCUGCCUUUCUGGCAAAUUCAGCCGGGCAUGCAGGAUACUGGAUGAACUGGCUCCAAUGGGGGUGAUCCCUGAGACAGCCCAUGAGGAUAUGAUCAAUGUCCUGUGUAAGACUGGCAGGUUCAAGCAGGCCUGCAAAUUGGCUGAUGGAAUUGUGCAGAAGGGCCGUGAGAUACCUGGGAGGGUUCGAACAAUGAUGAUCAAUGCACUAAGGAAAGCUGGAAACACCGACCUGGCAGUUAAGCUGGUGCAUAGUAAGAUCGGCAUUGGGUAUGAAAGAUCUGGCAGCAUAAAAAAAAGAGUGAAAUUUCAGACCCUGUUUGAGUGAGUUGCCAGUGGUGUUUUCCUCAAAAGUGAGGAGAGCCCUGAGUUACACCGAGGUUAACAUCUCGUGCUCCAGGGCCCAGGCUAUCUUCCUGAAGAAAGCAUCCCCUCCACACAGGAUUUUCUGUUGAAUCGUUUGGUAGCUGCGAGGGCUAAAGAAAGCUUCACCAGCUUUAAAUCGAUAAAUUAUUUUGCUUUUCAGUUUUGUAAGAUACCUUUCUCUGAUUGCUUGAAGAACCAAACUGAGUUCAGUUUCUUCGAUGGCACACCUGUACACUACACCGAUACAGGUUCUAGGACCAGAAUCUACUUGGGGCAAUUACUUCGUUUACAGCCAAAAGGAAAGGUAACUCACUCGAUGAAUCAGAUCUGAUUGUCGUAGCGUCAAAAAUACGUCACAGAAUAUGUGAAGCAAUGAAGACCUGCUGGUGCUGCUAAGGCACUUUUUAAAUUGGUAGCACUCAACAUCCAACAGCAAGUCAGAGCUACCCUGCUGAGUGAUGGCUGAUGAAAAGCUGAAGAUAAGCUUCGAUCCAGAUUUAAAUGUGUCGAGUAAUGCAUGAGAUAGAAAGAGGGGGUAAUUCUUGUCUGGACCCUGCUGGUGAUGACUAAUGAAGGGCUUAAGCUACGAUUCAGACUUCGAACCCUGCUGGUGAUGACUUAUGAAAAAAUGCUUAACACUUCUAUGAUACAUCACUCCUGAGUGUCAAGUAAGGCACGAGAUGAAAGGAGGUAGUUCUUGUUGAGUUCAUGUAUUCGUUGAAGACUAAGUUGGAGGUAAGUGUGUAUCCAAGUAGAAUGUAAUACAAGAAACCUGUGCUGAACCAAACACCUUAAAAACUGUAAUUACCCAAAACACGGUUACCAAAUCUUAGAUUUUUAAACAUUAAGUACCAAAACAGAGACUAGGAUACCAACUUUCUUCUAUAUUGUUGCGAGAUCAAUUUAUUAAUCAUCAGGUAGGUAUGGCAUCCAAAAUAAGCGACUUGAAAUGUCAGUAUAUUUCCAUGCCAUUCUCACAGUUUACAGGGACUCGGUCAAUGGAUUUAAAUCAUCAACCAACAGACACAUACAAACACAAAUAAUCACAGUACAGGGCCUUUCUGUUCUAAUAGGAAAAGAAAGCUACAAUCUUUUAUCAAAUGGAAAGCACAAGAUGUGUGCUAUCCAAUGAGCUCCGCAACUCCUCUCCAUAGAUUCACUCCUGCACAUUGAUUCAGAUAGUUAGACAAUGCUACACAGAAAACUAUUUCAAUUAAUCUACACAAGAAAUUGAAUAUUUAAAUUGCAGUCCAAUGAACGUCAAAGCACAGCAUUACUUCAAUUAACAAGAAAAUAAUUUGUUAGUAAUAAAAAUGCUGAAGAGGCAAUAAGCCAACAUUAUCUCAGACGUCUGAACUCAUGUCAUAUUAGGUGCUGUUCUCCAAGUAGGUUCUCCCUGAAGCAGGGACUCGGAUACACAGCACAUCCAUUUUGCAGACAGAAUCAUCACUGAAAGAGUACUUGACCUCUAACCAAAAUGAAGGAACAUGAUGGAGAGUCGGCAUGCUAAAAAUGGAAGGAAAAAGAGUAGACGCAAAAAUUGUCAAUAAAGCAUUUUUUCCACGCAAUGCCUCAGAUACAUGAUUUUGAUGUCAUGUUAUUCACUGCUUCCUCAAGUAGGUUCUCCCUGAAACAGGGACUUGAGUCCACAGGACAUCCAUUUUGCAGACAAAAUCAUCACUGGCAGCCAAGUCUCAAAAAUUAUGCUAUUUCGUUGAGCAGAUGCAAAAAAUUGUAAAUGAAGCAUUUUUUUCCCCGCAAUGCCUCAGAUACAUGAUUUUGAUGUCAUGUUAUUCACUGCUUCCUCAAGUAGGUUCUCCCUGAAACAGGGACUUGAGUACACAGGACAUCCAUUUUGCAGACAAAAUCAUCAUUGGCAGUCAAGUCUCGAAAAAUAUGUUAUUUCAUUGAGUCCCAGUAAAAGGAAGAACAUCUCAACAAUAUGACAUGGGCAGUAAAAAAAGGCAAAGAACCCAAAGCACCAUCCAAAUCAGUCAUAAACGAACAAUUCUCAUGUAGUAUGCAUCCAAAUAACAUAGAAACAUCUGGCCUCAAUUUCAAAACCUCAGUAAAUGCCCAUGCAUCUCAUUUGAAUAUAGGACCCCAAGUAGGUUCUCCCUGAAACAGGGACUUGGAAGUUAUCUACAUCUCGAAUUAUGGACAACUCAUCAUUGGCACAUGCAAGGAUUUCAAAUGAAUGCAUUCCGCUAAUUAAGAUACAAAGAACACAACAACAACAAGGAAAGAAGCUUAACAGAACACAGCAACAAACUAAAAAUCACCUCAGAGAAUGACCAGAAAUCUCAUCUGAAUGUAGGACUCCAAGUAGGUUCUCCCUGACAAGCAGGGACUUGGAGCUAUCUACAUCUCACACAUCAGGAAAAUCAUCAUAGAAUAGCAAUGAAAACAUGCUAUAAAUAAAUGCACCUAAAUUUUCUCAUAACCUUGGAUAAUACUGCAAUUAUAAAGCUCAGUAAAAGCCCAUAUAUCUCAUUCCAAUGUAGGACCCCAAGUAGGUUCUCCCUGAAAUUCAGAGACCUGGAGCGAUCUACACCUAAGUUACAGGGCAAUUCAUCAUUGGAUUGAAGCAAGUCAUAUACAGUUAACAUAUCACUACAACAAACAAUAGUAGGUUACUUACAAAGUGAUGUGAACGCCUAUCGAACUAAAAUUACAUAACAAUGAUUGACAGACAGUAACGUUAAUAUACCAGAAGUUAAACGUAAUCUGAGAACAAGCAACUGGAGCCAAUUUAGUGAGCAAUUUUAGAAGCAAUACCAUAAGAAACAGUAAGCUUCCACGUUAAACUCACAAGUAACUCUGUGCCUCCAUGACUGGGCUUCCUUGAGAGUGAACAGUCUCAAGAAACCAAAGGUGAGGAGAGGCACAAUUACUUACUACAUUCUACACCGAAACUAAGAAUGUAAUCCGCCUACCAGCCUAAUCACAAGGAAGCAUUCGGCAGGAAGCACUAACCAGAUGUUACUAGAUGACAGUAAAUCAAAAGGUAACAAAGGAAAAGCUUACCCCCCGUCAAGUGUUAGACUUCUUAUCCGGCGAUUUAGAAGACUGCGGAGAAGAACCAGCCGCCGCCGCAGGGGCGUCGUGAGAGCAGCAUCCACCGGGGCCGUGGUGGUGGUGGUGAUGGUGCUUCUUAGGCUGCGGCUGCCGCAGAGGCUUGCGCAUAUCGAACGCGUCCUCCCCGUCGGCGUAGUACUUGGCCUCGAUGUCGUGGAUCUGGUACCCGAGGGUGGAGGUGUAGAGGUUGAAGGCGGCGCGGUUGGACCGGCGCACGUGGAGGGAGACGUACUCGGCGCCGAAGACCUGGUCCAUGGCGGCCUGCGCGGCGGACAUGAGCUUGGUGGCGAGCCCCAGCUUGCGGUGGGAGCGGAGGACGGCGAGGGAGGUGAUGUGGCCGUGGCAGGGCUCAGAGGGGUCCUCCUCCAUCUUGGCGAGCACGUAGCCGACGAUGCGGCCGCCGUAGUCCUCGGCGACGAAGAGGAGCUGCGGCCACGAGAGCAUGUGGUAGAGGUAGUACUUCAUCUGGUAGUUCUCCGGCAGGCACAUCAGGUUGCACGCCUGCAUCGCGAGCAGGUCGUCGAUGGUCGCCUGCCGGAUGCACACCAUCUUGUCCGCCGCCGAAUUCUCCCCUCUACUCUCCCGGAUGCGGUGGAUUUGUGGUUCCCCGGCGAGAAGUGGUGAUGGUGAAGCGGACGGCGGCGGUUGCUUGGCCUGUAUUAAUAAAGGGAGGAUCGGGGGAGGCCUUGACCUAACCCUAGAGGGAAACGGGCCGAAACAAGCAUGUGGACCGAGGGAGUCUUGCUUAUGGGCCGGCCUAUGAGCAACAACUCCCCGUGGAGGCAAACUGAAACUGGAUACGUACACACUACCUGAGUUUUUUCAGAAGAAAGCACAAAAACAUUGACGAUCUGAAUUCGAAUUAAAAAAACCGAAGAAAUCACAUACAUGAGAAGAUUCUGGGAACCUGAAACUGUACAUAAAUGACAGCACAGAAACAUUGACGAUCUGAAUUUAAAUGCAAAAAACGAAGACAUCACAUACAUGAGUCGUUUCCUCUGCCGCUGGUGCAUAACACAAGGAAUGCAGACAUGGAAGGCGUCAAAAAAAAUUUCUUUUCAUAAUUAGAGAGCGUCAAACAUUGAUGAACACAGUUCGUAUCCUUGCCAAAGCAUGUUCCACAACAAUGUGCGGCAAAUUGUGCCUACCCAUCAAUCAAACUGCCCUUAAGCCUCAGGGACAUGGAGUGCGUGUGCAUGGUGAGUUGGUGACAUCUUUGUAUGUCCCUCGUUCCAAUUUAAAACAAGCACAAAAUAGCUCAAUAAUAGUGUCAGAAAAGAGGCAUAAACUUAAGUACUUAGCAAGAAUACAUUAGCAACAAAGGGUCAACAUUUUAAGUUGCACAAUGAAAUUACAACUUCAUCAGCAACGGGUAAAUAAUACAUGAGAUUGGAGUUCGUUUCCACUGGAACAGACGGUUCUGAGGGGUGCUUUGAGAGCACGGUUCUAAAUAAUCGACCAGUGCAAGCUUAUGCCCCAUCAGCGAGGAAAGGGUUCGCGAUCUCAUCGGUUCCAUCAGUCGGUGAGACCAGCAUGACUGCCGUGCCCCUGCACACCUGCAAGGAACAGAAAAGAGGUAUAAUGUUCAGAUUGCAGUUCUAAAGCCCAUGAAAAAGCAACAUCACAUAUAUCAAAAGAAAUUUAUUUAGCAGUGACCUGAAAAUCAUGUAGUUUCUUACUUUUAUUCAGGUAACAACAGGAGGACUACUAGAAUACUAGUGCCUGAGCCUACUUUGCACUUAUUCUUAAAAUCGUUCAUUGCUAACAAAAUGGGUACAAGGUUGUGAGAAGAUUAACAAUAACACACUUCAACAUCAGCACCAUCGAGCAUCAGCUUCCCUAACGCAUCAGUCAAAUAAUAGAAAAAUGACUGAGUACACAUGUUAAAUCUAAUCUGUCAGAAAAGAAUACUUACAAUGAGGCCAAGCUGUCUGGUUUUCCCAGAUAACUUCAACGGGUCAUCUUGCUCUACAAAAGAAAAUGAAUAGAUUAUGGAUCAUUCCAUUCAGUGCUAUAAAAAGAACUUCAACACAAUUCCAUCUGCAUACACAGCAUAUGAGCUGCAGAAAAUAGGCACUAUGACCCAGUUCUUUGCAGAAUAUAAAAUCCAAUACUUCAUUCAGUCUUUAACACUUAGUUGAGUGCUAAUGAACAGUUAUCUCAUCCCUAGCCAGAUUUUAAUUGAAAUAUUAGCUAGCAAAUGCUAACUGCCCAAAAUUAUUGAGGCAAAAUGUUGUAAAAUUGUAUCAUAAGUCCUAAUUCUAGCCAAUUUCAAUGAGCAAAAACCAGACGUUAUACAACAAAACCAAAGGAAUCAGACAGUACCUCUUUCGUACUCCACUGCUUCAUCUAGCACUAAGUUGAGUAGCUGGUCGUAUCCCUUUAAAGUUCCUGUCACUGGACACAUGAAUAUGGUGGCAGGUAAGCAUAUAUAGGAAAGAAACCCAGAGAAGGUACACAAGGGUCCAUGUCCAUGUAUUGAAAUCUCUAAAGGAGCUUACGCAUUGUUCAGCUACUAGCACAAGAGACAAUAAGCCUAUUAUGUAUAGAUGAACAAUUCCAACAUAAAAGGAAGUUGCAAGUCAAGAGAUUGUGCAAAUGAAAGCAGUAAACAUUCCACAUGGUAGUAAACUUGGAGCCCACAAAAUUAUGACAACAAUCCUAAUUAAUUCUGACUUUCUACUUUAUCAUUUUCGUGUUCUAUAAAAACAUGUACACAGACAAACUCAGUUGGAGAGCAAGCACGCAUUAUGUUUUAGAGUAAAUUUCACAAAACCUAAGUUUAGUGGCCCAGGUGUCACAAAGCCCUAGGUUUCAACAUGCAACACUAACGCCAGGUUUUGUGGUUCACUGACCACAAGUCCAACAAAAAUAAUUUAUUACAUGACUAUUGGUUUAAACAAAUGCCAGGGUUAUGUAGCAGAUUUUGUGAACUUCACCUGAUAACUUACUUAAAACGAUUGCACAGCAGCACAUGCUAACACAAACACCAAGCGCAUGAACAUAUCACAAGCUGGAUAGGGAGACUAUCCAUAGGAUUGUACUUUGACUGUGUUCAAUAGGUACAUCCUCCUCAUGGAGAAGGCGCAAAUUUGGGGCACGAAAUUGUUCAGACAAUUAAAGGAGGAGGGGGAAGGAGGGGGAUGUGAAAUCAACCUUGCCUGCCGCCGGUAAGCUUCACCUGGACGCCCUUGUCGACGAACUUCGCCAGGUCGAGUGCAGUCUCCUUGCGCCCCGCCUGAUCAGGAAACAAACAAACAGCACAACUCAACCUCGCAUCACGAGCCAGCCACCACACGAAUCUAAAACAAGCGAACUACUACGCGCACGAAAAGGGAAGUCGAUGCUUAGUUGCUUACCAUCUCAAUACUAGCACGCGGCGGAAUCCUUCGAGCGAAUCCUCCUACCACCGCCUGAGAGCCGCAAAUCGCCGGGGGAUUCGAGCGGAUUUUUGCCCUAGAAAUCGAUGCGGCCGCCGCAGCUGGGGAACUCACGAUGAAGAGGAGAAAGCUGGGGGUUUUGCCCUUCUGCUUUGCCCACCCAACAACCAGGAAAGGAGGACGUGGAAAGUCGCAGCUAACCCGGCCCAGAUAAACUCGCAGAGGCAUGCGGCCCAACCCAUAGCGCCUCACAUAUGUGGGCCUUUCGUUUCAGGGUCCUAUAUCCGUUUACGUUUCUUCUAAAGCGUAUUUCUGAGUUCAUGCUUUUCAUCUGCCCUCACUUGUCCCUUCAAAAUUCUGAGGGAACCGAUGAUGGAGAGCGUCAUCACCGGAAAAAGAUAUAGACUUUGACUUUCCGCAAGUGUAGUGCAUCACGAUCUCUUUGCUAGAGCGGCGGCUAUUGACCGCUAGACAGAUAGGUAAUUUUUUCUCUAACUUUCACAUAUGAUAACCUUACUUUUCCAUAUGUUAUACAGCAUAAGGAAGCAGAGAGAACACCAUAGAGAGGUGCGGGCAUUUCGUCGAAUAGGUGCCGCGUACAAUAACAUUGACUCCCCACCUAACACAAACAAAUUUAAAAUCACUCUACAUGCAUGCGGCUGCGCUCCACGAAAUGAGAAAACCGCCUGCGACAUAGCACAAGGGAGUAGAGACACCAUAGAGAGCUGCGAAAAAUUCGUCGAAUAGGUGCCGCGGGCAAUAAUAUUGACUCUCCACACAACACGAACAAAUUCAAAAUCACUUCGAACCUAUGCGGCUGCGCUCUCCCAACUAAGAAAGUCCCCUACGACACACGAAAAUACGAGGUUAACAGACGUGAAAGCCGGAGAAAAAAUUAUCUACCUGUCCAGCGACCAGUAGCCGCCACCUUGGCGAGGAGACCGCGACGCCUCACACUGGUGGGAAGUUCAACCCUAUAUUCUUUUGGUGGUGGCGUUCUCUAUCCUCGAUUCCCUCGAAAUCUCGAAAGGAGACAGAAACAACGGGGAGUGAGGGCAGAUGAAAAGCGUGAACUGAGAAAUACGCUUUAGAAAAACGAAAACGGAUAUAGGACCCUAAAACGACAGGUCCACAUAUGUGUGGCGCUAUGGGUUGGGCCGCAUGCCUCUGCAAGUUUAUCUGGGCCGGGGUAGCUGCGACUUUCCCCGUCCUCCUGUCCUGGUUGUUGGGUGGGCAAAGCAGAGGGCAAACCCCCCCCCCCCCCCCCCCCCCAAGCUUUCUCCUCUUCUUCGUGAGUUCCCCAGCUGCGGCGGCCUCAUCGAUUUCUAGGGCAAAAAUCCGCUCGAAUCCCCCGGCGAUUUGCGGCUCUCAGGCGGUGGUAGGAGGAUUCGCUCGAAGGAUUCCGCCGCGUGCUAGUAUUGAGAUGGUAAGCAACUAAGCAUCGACUUCCCUUUUCGUGCGCGUAGUAGUUCUCUUGUUUUAGAUUCGUGUGGUGGCUGGCUCGUGAUGCGAGGUUGAGUUGUGCUGUUUGUUUGUUUCCUGAUCAGGCGGGGCGCAAGGAGACUGCACUCGACCUGGCGAAGUUCGUCGACAAGGGCGUCCAGGUGAAGCUCACCGGCGGCCGGCAAGGUUGAUUUCACAUCCCAAGGAUUGAUCUGGUCAACUAGUUGAGGUCGAGUCCAUGUCUGAAGCAGCACAAACGAUGUGAGUUCUUUUGCUCAUUAGGUGAAUAUGUGCUAAUCAUGGAACUGGUUUUCUGGUUCUGAGGAUGACUGCAGCGCACUGCAUGGCCUAUUGGGUUGUUCUAAUUAUUUAUUUUGUGAAUGAACUAUAUUGUUGCAAUUUAAGCAAUCUGCAUAGUUGUUCCAUAUUAAUGUAACUUUGAGGGCUGCCUGUUCUGUGAUGCUGGGUUCUUAUUAUGUUUAAGUGUCCAAUGAUGUUGCAGGGAAGGGGGAGGGGAUAUCAACAUGCUCCGGGUACUUGUGGCGACUGACUGCCAUCUAGGCUACAUGGAGAAAGAUGAGAUACGUAGGUUCGAUUCCUUUCAAGCAUUUGAAGAGAUUUGCUCAUUGGCAGAUCAAAAUAAGGUUUGUAGGAAUGAUAUAUCUGCUAGUACCACUUGUUUUCCCAGCUCUUGUGAGCUCAUGGGUUGUUUAUGCUUUAUACGAAACUGAAUUGCAGGUAGAUUUUAUACUUCUUGGUGGUGAUCUAUUCCACGAGAAUAAGCCGUCACGCUCAACCCUGGUGAGAACUAUUGAGAUCCUACGACGCUACUGCCUAAAUGACCAACCAGUGAAGUUCCAGGUUGUCAGUGACCAGACAGUUAACUUCCCAAACAGGUGAGCACAUGAAUGUUAUUGCUUGAUCAAUACUUUGAUAGUCAAUUUAUGUAUGUUCAAGACAACUUCACCAUAAAACUCUUAUGGAGAAGUUCGUCACUUUUUUUUUGAAAGAUUUAGUUGAUCACUUUUUCCAGAGAUUCAUUCUGAUAUAUGAUUCAUUCGUUACAAGAAAUUUUCUGCUGUAUUCUCAGAUUUGGACAAGUAAAUUAUGAAGACCCAAAUUUCAACGUUGGCUUGCCUGUUUUCACUAUCCAUGGAAAUCACGAUGACCCAGCUGGAGUGGUAUGGACAUUGUUUUGUUACCCUCUAAUAUGGACAUUGUUUUGUACCCUCUAAACUUUGUGUAUUUGUACUGAAAUUAUGCCUAUGAUGGGAUGUCAGCUUUCUUUGAAACAUUUAUGCUUCUUGUUGUAGGACAAUCUCUCAGCCAUCGAUAUUCUUUCGGCUUGCAAUCUUGUAAAUUAUUUUGGAAAGAUGGACCUUGGUGGCUCUGGUGUUGGCCAAAUAGCAGUUUAUCCUGUACUCAUAAAAAAGGUGCGCUACUUCAACUCCAGGAAAUGACUUAUGUUUAAUAUGCUAACUUCAUUGCUUUUCUAUUAUUUCAGGGCAUAACUUCAGUUGCGCUUUAUGGUCUUGGUAACAUUAGGGAUGAACGACUAAACAGAAUGUUUCAGGUGCCUUUCCAUCAUUUUUUUCCUUGAAAUAACUUCUUGCCAGUUAAACAAGAACACUUUUUUGAUAUUGCAAACAUUUACAUGCCACCUUUUUGUUAUUAUUUGUAUCAUGUUUUGUUUUUGAAUACUUCAGACACCUCAUUCAGUACAGUGGAUGCGGCCUGGAACUCAAGAUGGAGACUCAGUAUCUGACUGGUUCAAUAUAUUGGUUCUUCAUCAGAACAGGUGCGCAUAGCAAGUUAAAACAACAGAGGAUUUAUUUUAUUCAUUUGGUCCUACAUCCUGCUUACUGAAAAUCAAAUUUACACCGAAACUCACAUAGGAUAAAGACAAACCCUAAAAGUGCCAUCAACGAGCAUUUCUUACCACGUUUUCUGGACUUUGUUGUGUGGGGCCAUGAGCAUGAAUGCCUUGUUGAUCCUCAGGUAACAGCUUGGGGAUUUCAGUUUUUACAUUUCAUGAUUUAAGGGAAACUAACUGUGCACUUGCCUUCUAAUAAACUAUUUACAGGAGGUCCCUGGGAUGGGUUUCCACAUCACUCAACCAGGCUCAUCAGUUGCGACCUCCCUGAUAGAUGGGGAAGCAAAACCAAAGCAUGUUCUUUUGUUAGAGAUCAAGGUCUUCUUUCAAGACAGAACUUUCUUAUUCAUGUUGAAUGUGCUGUUUGUAGUUUUUCAUUCCUUAUAUGUUUUGUAAAUAGGGAAAUCAGUAUAGGCCAACCAAAAUACCUCUCAGAUCUGUCAGACCUUUUGAAUAUGCUGAGGUAUGUCUUUCUCAUAUUUCAUGCUUCUUGUUUUAGUUAGUGAAUCUUACAGUUUAAAUUUGUAGGUUGUGUUAAAGGAUGAAGCAGAUGUUGAUCCCAACGAUCAGGCCUCUGUGCUUGAACACUUGGAUAAAAUUGUGAGUGCUUGUAUCCAUUCUGUUUUUGGAUCUUCACAAGUUUCUUAAGAAACAUUAAAGAGUAGUCUGCUUGUUAUUUUCUCUAGUCUGCCCAUAUGUGUUGUCAAUUGUAAGUGGAUUUUCUUGGGUUUCGUAUUACUGAAUUGCUUCAGGUGAGAAAUUUGAUUGAGAAGAGUAGCCAACCAACAGCCAGCAGAUCAGAGUCCAAACUUCCAUUAAUUAGAAUUAAGGUAAUAAAAUGCAGCGCAUAAUUGGGUGCAAAGUGAUCAAGAAAGAAAAAGUAUAUGACAAUGCUCAUAUUGUUUUGCAGGUAGAUUACUCCGGGUUUUCAACAAUAAACCCACAACGUUUUGGUCAGAAAUAUGUAGGAAAGGUACCUAAAUCACUAAUUUGGUACUACUGAAGUGUCCUGUCUCAAUCCUACUUGGUUGAACUUGUUUGAUGAUUUUGCAAGGUGGCAAACCCUCAAGAUAUUCUCAUUUUUUCAAAAUCUGCAAAGAAGCGUCAGACUGCAGGAGGUAUUUCUUUAUAUUUUGGGAGAAACAGUGCAUCUGAUAUCUAUUGAUUGAGAAAAAAAGCUACAAAUGACCUGUUUAUUUUCUUAUUGAUUUAUUUUUUAAAUUAUGUCUAUCUUGUAGACCAUAUUGAUGAUUCUGAGAAACUUCGUCCUGAGGAACUAAACCAACAAACAAUUGAAGCUUUGGUUGCAGAGAGCAACUUGGUACUUAUGAUACUGCACAUACCUCUUUGGCUCUGUCUUUGAGGAUGGAAUAAAUGUUGGCCUCUAAUUGUGCAAACUAAAAGCAAACAUCUAAUCUUCUUAAUAAUCCCCACACGAAUUAGGAGUUGAAAUGUUUUCUGUUAGUGCAGCAUAUCAAUUCACUUUCAUUUGGAAUGUAAUUUUAAUGCCCAGAAAAAUGCUUCUAGCUAGGGCUAGGAGCCGCGUGGGUAGGCAUGAAUGCCCCAGUCAGUAUUUUGAUGAAAGGCAUGUCUGUUCAGGUCCUCUCACAAUGUAUGACAUAUUCUGGGUUACUGGGUACAUGCCUCAUUCACGAUGUGCUGUAAAGAGGAUUUCGUUUUAUGUUGUUUGCAAUUUUUUGUGAAUCUAUUGGCUAUUUUUCAUCAUCUAUUUGUUUUCUGCAGUCAUUAUAUGUACUUAAAAUAUAAGCUUUAUAAUGGCACACAUUUCUUCUUGUUUUCAGAAAAUGGAGAUUCUUCCGGUGGAUGACUUGGACAUUGCUUUGCAUGAUUUUGUGAACAAGGAUGACAAGAUGGCAUUUUAUUCAUGUUUGCAGCGAAAUCUUGAGGAAACCAGGGUAUAAUUCCCUAGGAUUGUGAGGUGUUAGCUUUUAGUUCUGGAUGCCAGAGAAGAAUCAUGCAUCUAAUCUACAAAUCUUGAUAACAAAUUUUGCAGAGUAAGUUGAGUUCUGAAGCAGAUCAAUCUAAAAUCGAGGAAGAAGAUAUAAUAGUCAAAAUUAGUGAGUGCAUGCAGGUAUUUAAGCCUUCUACAGUUGUACUAUAGUUAUCCAAUAAUGUUCUGUCUCAAAAAGGUGGUUAACAAGUCCCAAUCUAAAAUCUAGGACCGUGUAAAGGAAAGGUCCCUUCGCUCCAAGGAAGGCUCACGGUUCACGUCAAGCUCUCAAAACUUGGUUGUUAUUAUCUUUGAGCAUUAAAAUUCCUUUUUCUUUAUGUAAUAUUUUCUUUCCUAGAAAGCUUAUAACACUUAUGAUAUUCAUCUAGGAUACUGGAGGCAAAUCCGUUGCAGCUCUAAGCAGCCUGAACUCCUUCACUGAUGAUGAAGACACCAGGGAGAUGCUUCUUGGUGCAAGAUCAACUGAUGUUGGCAGAAAAUCAUCUGGAUUUACUAGACCUUCCAAAGCUAGGACUGAUGUUACUAAACGUGGGGCUCCCAAAAGGGGCAGGGGAAGAAGCACCAGCUCAAUGAAGCAGACCACUCUUAGUUUCAGUCAGCCGAGGUUGGUUAUUCUAACCAUUAGUCAGUUGUCAUCUUUCUUUUCAGCUUUGAACCUUUGAAAUUCAAUAGAAUUUUGUGUUACUAUGGAGAAUGUAGUUAUUCAGCCAGGACCAAAUAGAAUAGCCAUGCCAAGCCUAAUUUUGCAGGUGCCCUGAUUUUCAGGCUGCAGCCAAGCUAGAAUGCUCUUCUUUUGGGCGAAAAAGCUACUUCAUUGCUAAAUUUACUAACAUAGCAUCCAUUUGCAGGUCAAGUACCGUCAUCCGCAGUGAGGAGGUAGCAUCCUCCUCAGAGGAGGAAGCAGAUGCAAAUGAAGUUGUUGAAAAUUCAGUAUGUCUGUUUACUCAAUUUUUGUUGGUGCAGGUGCAUGUAGAUAUUAUGGACUGCCUUAUUUUCCUGCCAAAUGAUCUCAUCAUCUGUUUUUAUUCUCUAAUGCUCACAGGAAGAGGAGAGUGCGCAACAAGUCGGGCGUAAAAGGGCAGCUCCUAGAGGCAGAGGCAGAGGUCGAGGUUCUACUGCGAAGAGGGGGAGAAAAACAGAUAUUGCUUCCAUCCAAAGUAUGAUGAGCAAAGAUGAUGAUGAUUCAGAAGAUGAGCCGCCCAAGAAAGCUCCUCGGGUGAGUGAAUCACCUCACUAUUCUCAGUUCGCAUACUGUAGCUAUCUCCACUGUCAUGCAAAAUUUUGUGCAUUUUAAAGAAAACAUAUUACGUGAAAUGAGUUGAUUAAUUAAAAAAUUUUGUUGUUUCGCAGCCCGCCAGGAACUAUGGGGCUGUCAAGAGGAGAUGAUCUUUUAGGAAGUUCUUGGCUUCUUGCCCUUGAGAAUACAGGCUAGGGUUUGUGAGUUGUCUUAGAAGAGCCGGCUAGCUUGCAUCUACAUGGACGAUGGUUUGUUUUGCCGGUGAACUAACUGUACCUUUACACGCUCGAGUGUAUCGGAAUUAUACAUGCUUAUAGAUGCUAAAUCCCAACCGUUGGAUUGUACAUGUCAUUCAUGUCACGCAUGAAUUUUGACCAGGGAUGUUGGAGGGUGUUCGUCAAAGCUCGCCUGCGUGUGUAUAUAUUCCAUAAUCCAUCGAUGUUGUGCAUAUUUUUGUACGAAGUUCUCGAUCGACUGCAUGGCACUCAAAACUUGCACAAAACAUGCUAUGCUUGAGAAGCAUUCAUGUGUAGCUAUGUACAUAAUCAUCUGUUAGAUUUCACAAGGAAAAAGCAAAAGGAUCGAGCAUCCACAAACAUGAAAAUCCUCAACAAGAUGAUCCAACGAACUGCUAAAUCUUAAAUGUGUAGUUAUGUACAUAAUGGCAGCAAAAAGGUUCCCUAAAACCUGAAAAGGAUGAAAUCAGACAUCCCUGUGACUAAUGCAUCUCGUGCUCUCUUUGCAAAACAAGUGAUAGCUACCAUGAAGCUAAUUCUGACUCCGCCAUUGAUUCAUGUGGUUUGGAGCAGAACAGUGAGGAAGCCAGGGAGUGGGAGGCGCUGCUGGAGCAGCACACGGCGGGUAGUGCACAUCUGCCGUUAGUUGAAGAAACCGUUAGAACAUUGCUUCUAUGUUUGACAGCAUAUUACGGAAAAUCAAAAUCAGAUCAGGGUGCAUCAAUGAUUGUUAAAUUCAGGCAAAACCAUGUAACAAGGAAACUGAAUGGCAAGUGAGCUAAACAGACGACUCUAUCAAGAUGACUGCUAAUGUGCUAAUGGAAUGAAACUGUUGGUCUAAAAACGUCAAUGGUUUGCAAGCAUAAGUUUUGAACCUAGAAAUAUACCAAGUAUAAUUAUAGGUAGAUUAUGAACUGGACUAACAAGACCACAUGGUGAUCACUUACCAGACUGUUGUCCAUAGGGCCUGCAACUGUCAGAACUCCAUGAAGAAGAACUAUAUUGAUUUGGCAACCACUGAGCAACUGGCUGUGAACUAUAUGCUGGAAGAGUUGGUGGUGGCACCUGAUGUGGCCUCCCAAUCAGAUUUGCAGCUGCAUAGCCAGGGACCCCAUAGGCUUCAGCUGACCCAGGUGCCUGGUAGAGGUUCCUAUUAGUCAUGGGAGCCUGAAUACAUUGGUGCAUCUCAGGGCUAUAAGGAUUAGGAUUGUACGGGCUCGGGUUCCUAUGGGAUCCACAUGUACUCUGUCCAUAAGCAGGAAGUGGGGUACUUUGGUAGCUUCCAUGCAACUGAUACUGGUUUGAGUUACUCAGAUAGCUUGAGGGCAUCUGAUAUUGGUUCGGAGCACUUGGGUAGCCUGAAUGAAAUUCAUGUUGGUUUCCUGUUGGACUCUGAAACCUCUGAACACUAGAUGGUGCCUGUUGCUGCGUUGUGGUGCCCAUAGUAUGCACACCUGUGCUGAAAGUAGCAGCACUUCCAGGUACCGUGCCACUAUAACUUCCAUAUGAAUUGGCCAUUGGUGGGUGAAUGUUUGCCAUGGAUGACCUUGCCCUAGGAUCAACUGGAGCAGCAGUCGCUGCAUAUGUUGAGUUAGCCUGUAAGCACACAGAACAUCAGAACACUACUGUAUUGCUUUGCAUAUUGACACUGAUCAUGAUGGCACAAAACAAAAGAGAAACUAUUUCAAAAUAACAAUAAAGGCACCAUACAUUUUGGUUACUGGAAUUGCCACAGCUUGGGGUCCCGGUUCUUGGCAGCACCCGUUGCAUCUCAAGUAGGUUUCUCUGGGCCUCAUCCCUAGAAAGCUCUGUAAAAAUUACCUGAAAAAUGUUUUAAAACACAGUGAACUAAGCAAGCAUUUGAGAGUAGUCAGAAGAUGCAGUACAAUAAUACCAAAAUUUGAGUAUACCUUGUUAAAAGGCUCCUUCGAAUCAGGCAUAUCCCUUGAGAGCGGCAAGAUAAAAUUGGCUGAAUAGGGAAUGUACGGUAACUGGUAAGUGUUGGAUGUAUAGACACUAAAAAAAGUGAAGCUGGACGGCAAACAUGUUACUUGAGAGUAAAGUAAAGACGUGCAUAUGCCCAGGUACCUGUCAUUUCGUUAACUGCUUCAGCUGGCACUUCCUUCCCCAUCUCAUCGAAUUGCUUUGCUGCCCUGGAUUUCAGUUCACUUGGCGGUGGGAAUACGACCACAGCAGUCUGUUGCAUACAAAAGUGGCAUUACACAUCUUAUCAACCAAUCCCGCGCUAAGACUUGCUAAUCCAACCACCAUACAGAAAAUGGGAUAUUCUUUACUCUUUUGCAUCUUACCUUACGGUAGUUGGCAAAAGGCCUCAGCUUGCGAAUACGAGCAUUCUUGUAAACAUUUGUUUGAUCAAUGAUAAAGUUGCGACGGGUGUUUGCAGCCCUGGUCAGCAAUUUGUUGAAAAUCCAUGUAGCACACUCCAUCAACCGAUCAAAACGCUCACCAUAGUUGUUCUUACGCAACAAUCCUGGCACCUGCAAUGAUCAAGGCUGUCAAAAACUGAAGAGGCAGCAACUAAAAGAACACCAUUAUUGCCACGAGAAGGAAAACCAACCUUCAUUUGCUCCAAUGCAAGGUUAGUCCCGAGAAGGAUAAAACGUUUCUCCGGAUGCUCCUUGACCCACUUCUCUGCCCAUGUCGACUUGCCUGAAGCUGGGAGACCAACCAUCAUCAUGACCUCACAUUCACCCUGUUCAAACAAAGGGCCAAAUACUGCAUUCCCAUCAGCAAAAGCCGAGGCCCAGGGCUCAUAACCAUCAACUGGCUCCAGCCCAUCCUCCCUGCUGAAUAGCAUCUCCACGACAAUAUUCUUCAGCAGGACAUGGGGAAAGAGCGCGGAUUCCCAUUGCAUCGGCCUCACAGGGGCAUCAACCAAGCCAAGCCCCUUCUCACCGGCAUCGAAAUGCUUCGCGAUACCAAGCCACUCGCCGUUCCUCGCGAACCCGAUCGACGCCAUGGGCUUCGAAUCGAGGUCCACGGCGCAGACGACCGUGUCCCCGACCCCGAACCUGACGCCGUAGUUGGCGAACCGCCGCUGGUGGGAGAACUUCCCCGUGCCCCCGAACCCGAAGCUGUGGUCGGACUCCCCGAGCGCCCCCACGGGAUCGUCGCCCCUGGAGACGCCAAUGCGGCAGAGGUGGCGCUCCUCGGGGGCCGCGAGGUCCAUCUCCACGGUCUGCUCGGAGACGAUUCUGCACCCGAAGCAGUACCUACCGCCGCCCCUGGCGCCCACCGUCGCGCGCGCGCCCGACCAGCAGUAGGCGAACCCGCCGUCGUGCAGCGCGCUCCCCUGGAGGCCGCCCCCGCCGACAUCGAAGUCUGGAUGGACGAACGCACCGCGGCGACAGCAACGGUUAGAGGCGCGAUUAACGAAAAUGAGAGUGCCGAGGAAGACGGGGUGUCAGGUAAGUGUGUGCGUACCGAGAUCGCAGUCCGCCGGGUUUAGCUCCACGCGCGGCGGCGGCGGCGGCGGCUUUGCGGUGUCCUCCUCCGCUUCGGGGUCGCGCCGGGAACGCUUCGGCGGUGGCUGCGCGGCCUCGCCGUCCGGGGUCGCCAUUGGGUUAGGGCCGGGGCUGUCGCGUGUCGCCGUGUCGGGUUUACGGGGGGAGACUUGGGAGAGGGAGGAAUCGCUGCCACGGUUCAGGCUCGACUCGACGCCUCCUCUCCUGCGGUCCUGCCACGUCGGUAGCGGUCUAGCGGUCGUGUACUCGGAUGAAUAGUCCAGUCGUUACGGCGGCGACCGUGAUGUUGUGUUGGGCUGCGAUACGGGCUCACAGAUGGGCCGGCCUUAUUCCCCCAUGGUCGGUGCAGCAAAAUUUUAAGUUUUCUUACCGACCUAGUAGACACUAAUUUUUCUUUUUGUGUGUGCUGUUAUUACCAAGAUUAAUAUAUGAAUUAAUUAUACCAAAUAUUAAAUAUAGCCAUGUUAAAUCUAAAUUCAUACACAAGUAAAAUUGAACCAAGGUUAAAAAAAGAUUUUUUUUCGUUUUUAGAUAUUAUGAUGGAGCGGCUUGGUAGACGGGGUUGAAUUCUUUUACGGCUAAUUGUUUGUUCGACUUUUAGAAGAUCAUAAUAACAUGCCUAUCUUCCUACAAAUUUUAGUGAUGUUUUUCUCAAUUUUUCUGCCGGUUACAUUGUUGAAAGCUCUGUCAAAGGCAAAAGAACGAUAAUGUGAUAGGUAUUAGACAUGGUUUGUAAUAAAGUAGCAUCUUCAUUAUUUACGUAUCUUUUGCUACAGUUUGUAAGCUGGCUUUAUAAACCGUUUCGAUGUCUUAGUCUGCAUCUUUUAACUGGAAAACAAUGGAAGGCACAUCAACAGGUUAACAGGUUUUACCCUACAGAUUUGGUAAUUUCUCUACUUGACAACCAAAAUGGUCCAGAGUUAAAUAGGCAAGAGACAUUGUCAGCGUGACCAUUCUUACAUGCUGCGAUGCGAUCUGCCUGGUGAAAUACUCUGCUUCACCUGCACGGCGCGGCGGACAGCAGCAUCGACGAAGCGGCGAGCCAGCAAAAGGCAGCCGCGGUGACUUGUCCCCCCUGGAUCUGCACGGCGUCUGAGCCAGGCGGGCGGGCAGCCAGAUCAAGUCGCAGAGCAGUCAAGCAAGGCACGUCGGUCCAAGAGCGAGCACGACGCUGCCCGGCCGCGCCGCGCGACGCGAGAUCUGAAAAGGGAAAUCGAGCAGCUCGCGCGCGCGCGCGGCGGUUAGCGGCGCGUCUCGGAUCUCGGCGCGGCGCCUCCCGCCCGGCCAGUGCGGCGAGAGCAGCGGGGGCGCGGGCGCGGGCUCGGGACCGCCCCCCCCCCGCGCGAUCCGAUGAGGCGGCGGCCGUUCCUGGAACAGCGGCGACCGUCGUUCAAGCGCCGGUGGCAGCAGCGGCCGUGGUGGGUGCGCCUCGCGCUCUCGCUCCUCCUCGCCCUCGCCUGCGUCCUCCUCCUCGCAGUCCUUCUCGGCUCCCCCGACCCCGGCGCCUCGCCGUCCAUCUCCACCGCCUCCUCCGGAUCCGAGGCCACCUCCUCCCCUCUCCUCCGUCAGGUAACCACGUCGCAUUUACCGCAUUGCAGGGAUCGUCUCGCCAUCCGAGUAUUUGACCACGAGCAAGCCAAUUUUAGUUAGUAGCCAUUACACUUGCUAAAUCCGCUAGCUUUCUUAGUGUCUAGUGCUAGAUUUUGCGGAAAGAUAACGAGUGCGCUAUCGAGUAGCAUCUGAAAGUUUUCAAACCUCUCCUGUGCAGAGAUCUUACCUGGGGGGCAUCACGGAUGUUCUCAACAUGACUGACGAAAUGCUGAGCGCUCGCUCGUUCUCCAGGCAGCUCAUGGACCAGAUUUAUCUAGCCAAAACCUAUGUCGUCGUCGCGAAGGAGGCCAAUAACCUGCAGUUUGCGGCGGAGCUUAGUGCCCAGAUGCGGCGGGCGCAGAGCAUCCUCGCGCACGCUGCAGCCCACGGGGGCACGGUGCUGGAGCAGGAAGCAGAGAAGGCGAUCAGGGAUAUGUCUGUGCUGCUCUUCCAGGCGCAGCAGCUGCGGUACGAUAGUGGCAUCACAAUCAUGAAGUUGAAAGGCCAGAUUCAGUCUCUAGAGGAGAAGUCGAAAGCUGAGGCAGAGAAGAGCACAAAAUAUGGGCAGAUUGCUGCUGAGGAGCUCCCGAAGGGGCUUUACUGCCUUGGUGUCCGGUUAACCAUGGAAUGGUUCAAGAAUUCUGAGCUUCAGAGGAAGUUUUCGGAUAGGAGCCCAGCAGUGCAGAACAACCUAAGGGAUAACAGCCUCUAUCAUUUUUGUGUCUUCUCAGACAACAUCCUUGCUGUUUCAGUUGUUGUCAAUUCUACAGCUAUAAAUUCAAAGCACCCUGAAAAGAUUGUCUUUCACCUAGUUACCGAUGAGUUGAACUAUGCUCCAAUGAGGGCAUGGUUUGCCAUGAGUGACUACAGAGGGGUCACUGUGGAGAUUCAAAAGGUGGAGGACUUUACUUGGCUCAAUGCAUCAUAUGUUCCUGUUCUUAAGCAGCUGCAGAACACUGCUACUCAGAAGUUCUACUUCUCUGGCAGUGGUAACCGCGGAACACCAAUUAAAUUCAGGAACCCAAAGUACCUAUCCAUGCUUAAUCACUUGAGGUUUUACAUUCCAGAAAUAUAUCCUGAAUUGCAGAAGGUGGUAUUUCUUGAUGAUGAUAUUGUUGUUCAGAAGGACUUAUCCGAACUGUUUACUAUCAACCUCAAUGGUAAUGUGAUGGGUGCUGUAGAAACUUGCAUGGAGACAUUCCACAGGUUUCAUAAGUAUCUUAACCAUUCCCAUCCCCUAAUCCGUGCUCAUUUUGACCCUGAUGCUUGUGGCUGGGCAUUUGGUAUGAAUGUGCUCGAUCUUGUCGAAUGGAGGAACAAGAAUGUGACAGGUAUAUAUCAUUAUUGGCAGGAGCGCAAUGCUGAUCAUACCCUAUGGAAGCUUGGGUCUUUACCGCCUGGGCUUCUUGCUUUCUAUGGUUUGGUUGAAGCACUGGAUCCCAAAUGGCAUGUCUUGGGGCUUGGCUACACUACUGUGGAUCCUGCUACUAUCAAGGAAGGGGCAGUGCUGCAUUACAAUGGAAAUAUGAAGCCAUGGCUCAAAAUUGGAAUGGAGAAGUACAAGAGCUUUUGGGAUAACUAUGUGGACUAUUCACACCCUUUGAUUCAGCAGUGCUUCAUGCGUUGAUUACUGUGUAUCAACAUUAGAAAUUUUUGUAAGCAGCCUAGUAGAAAUGUUCCAAGUAAAUGCUGCAACUGCCACACGUAAACAUUGUACUUAGACCAGUUGGCUUCGCUCUCAAGUUAUAAUCUUUGAAGAAACAUCAGUGGCUGUUUAUAGCAUCUGUAGUUGAUGAAGUACAACAAUCACAUAUACCUCCAGCCACAGGUAAACAGCACAAGAGCUAAGAUUGCGAUGCAGUAGGCUGCUACUUGAACCACAUCCACUACUUACAUUCAUAACUGCAACCGUCAAUGUAAUUUUUUAUUUUUUAUUUUUUGGGUGAGACAGAAGCACAGAAUGGAGAUGAUGUAGAAUUGAUUCAAAAUUCUUGAAGUGUUACAAGUUUUGAGUUACAUAUCCAUAAUUAUUGGAUGUUAAGACAGCAAAGCUUUUCCUGUUUAUUUAUACAUCUUGAGAAGUAAAGUUGCCAUAUCUCAUUUGCACCUCUACCUGAAUUUGUUUUGUCUUUCUUGCUGCUCAAUGUUUUCACAUCUUGUGUAAGGGAUAGUAAAGCUUAUUUGCAAGUCCAUGUCAUGUGGGAAAAGGUGUAUCCAUUUUAUGCAGAGAGAAUAUCGCUUCACAUGUGGUUGAACUUCUUACAGAGGCUACAAUUCAGGCAAGUGUUUACAUAAAAUAAAAGUGUAAAUACAGUACAUUAUCAAGUCCACAGAAGGAAUCCAUUUAUAAUAUGAAAAUAACUGUUAUUUUUGCUGCCAUCAGCUACAAAAUGACAACUAGUAUUCUCUUUCCUCUCUACUUCACUUCAGCGAUAUUCAGCGUAUGAAUGUGGUCUUGAUUUUUGUCUCUUCUAGAACUCUUUUAUGAAAUUUGUAUUUCUACUACUUCAUUCAUCAUUGUACUGCAAAGCUUUUCCAAUCCAAAUUUCAUGGGUUUGCUGUGGCAUCUACCUCCAUUUGAUGAUUUCCGUCAUUGUUGCCGGCAGCAACCAUGGCCCUCCUCUUCCUUCUAGAUCUGGACCUUCUGCUCCUAUGUCUCUUGCUUGAUUCUUUUCUUUCCUCAUUAUUUGUGGAUGUGCUGGGGCUUAUAUCUGCAGGAUUGUCAACAGGUUCUGCUACUUGCAUUUUGUUCUUGUUGGCUUCACUCAAGCUUUCUUCUGAGCUCAUACCCUCAGGAUUUUUUUCUUUCUCUGCUUCUUUAACAACUACAUUACCAUCUUCAUUCUCCAGCAGUUUACUAUCUCUGCUGUGAUUACUGGCCUCGCCUUGAGGGUUCUCCACCUGUUUUGCACCAUCCGGUUCUUCUUUGCUGGCUUCCUGACUAUCUUCUUGGUUUUGGCUCCCCUGAGGAAGCUCAGAUUUAUCUGAAUGAUUUCCCUCUGGAGCAUCAUCUGACUGUUCAUUGGCAUCAUCUUUAUUCUCUUGUAGCUGACCAUCUUCCAUGUUAGUUGUUAACUUUAAGAACUGCUCUUGUGAGGAAUUAUUGUCUUGAUCAUUGCUCUCUGAUUCAGUGGUGUUGUAGGAAUUUUGUUCUUCUGCUGUAGCAGGUACAGAAUCAUUGGUGUUUUCAGAUUUGUCAGGUACCACAGCGUCAGAAGUGGCAUUUUGAUUGUUUGCUCCCUCAUCCUGCUUGCUGUUCUCUGAUGCAUUAGUGAUACUGGAAUUUUCUUCUUCUGCUGAAGUAGGCAUGGGGUCACCAGAGUUUUCUGGUUUGUCAAGUGUCGUUGUGUCUGAAGUUGCAUUUUCAUUAUUUGCUCCCACAACAGUGCUUUCAUCCUGGUGGCUGCUCUCUGAUGCAGUAGUGCUGUUGAAAUUCUUAUCUGCUGUAGCAGGUAUGGAAUCACUGGAAUUUUCAGAUUUGUCAAGCUCAGCUUCUUUUUGCUGCAGGAGUUCCUUUAUAGUUGGUGUCUGAUCAGGGUUGGAAGCAGCUGCAUUCUCUUUCAUUUGGUUGAUAUGGCUCUCUUUCUCCACAAGAGCUGCUUCUAAUUCUUUCUGGGUGUUGGUAAGAUAUGUGGUGGUAGUUUCUGAAUCCAUGAGCUUGUUUUUCAGUUCUGUCCUCUCAAUACUUAGGACAGAUGUUUUGGCUUCCAGUUCGUCCACUUUCUUUCUCAUCUCUUUAUUAAUUUCCUUUUCUUUCUGUCAUAAAGAAGAUAGCAGUAUUUAGCUGAUGGGAUAUUCUUGAAUGGCAGGCUGGAUAAAUAAUUCAUAGAAGUAUAGAACACACAACAGAAAACACGCAUUGAAGGCUCUAAAUCUGCUGCAGCUAUGGCAGACCAUCAUCUCAGUAUUAUCUAUUUGCAGAACAAGAGGGUGUUCAAUUGAGUAUACCAAUCUAUUUGGCUACUAGCAUUUUGAAACUAAAUUGUGACGUGACGCCUCCAGCUAUAAGUAUGUCUGCAAAAUGGUGUCAAUAUUGAAGUCUUCUCAGGGGUGAUUUAUAUGGACUAAUUUAUGAACGCACGGCUCUAGAUUGGAUAGCUAUAAGGUUUUGCAGAGUGUAAUACUGCGGUUUUUGUUGUAUCCAUACUUCUACCAGGGCCCUGUUUAGAAUCUUUCUCCUCCUGUGGAAAUUGUAAUGUUUCCAUUCGAUCCCUGCAAAAUUUGUGUCUACAUACACCCUAAAUUGGCACUGUGAUGGCUCAAUCAUGACAAUACUGAAUGCAAAUAGAAUUGUACUUUCCAUGAGAUUGUACUAUUUCUUAUAUUUUACCUACUGGUAAAUAAAAUGCCCUAAUUUAAGCAGUAUAGGCAAUUCACAAGUUAUCGUGGGAUCUUGACUUUUGAACUAUUAUGCACUGAUGUGUUUUAAUCUGUUUGAUGAUGAAAAGGGGAAUUGAUGAUGUGGUAUUCAAAUGACUCAUUUUUUUAACACAAGUUAAGCUACAAACAAUUAAUCAUGUACACUAUCCUUAGUUUAGUGGCCACAUGUAAUGCAGAGAUCUGAAGGGGCCUGAAAUUAUUUGAAUACUUGGUAGUCCAGGACCCUUGUUUGAUCAAGGAAUCUCAAUAAUCUAAGGGCCAAAUAUUCAUCUACAGUGCUCCGAAUCUUUACUUGACGACACAAUAUUCCCUAUCAUGUAUCCAUGGUAUCAACAUUUCAGUAGGAGGCGCAAGUAUGUUCUUUCAGAACUUCAAAUGGAUAUCCUGAGCAUCAAUGUUUUUGUUACAGGUUGCAAAUCGGUGAGUGAAAGGAGUAACACAACAGCUUGCUUAAGAGUACUUAAUAGUUGAUAGUCCAGGUUAUAAAAUCAGAGCAUUCGUAAUCGACUGGCGGAGUCAGCCGGCAAAUGCAAGAAAAACAGGCAAGCAGCAGCCACUUAUUAGAAAGACGAUUUCUGAAUUUGUGAUGCAUGCAAACUUUUUUCUGGAACACAGAUGCAUGCAACUCAUACAGUCAGUCAUAUCCAUACCUCGAGGAGGACUUGGAAGGACACGAGCUGCUGGUCGCGUUCCUGGAGGAGGACGGCGAGGACGCGGCGCUCCCUCAUCUUGUGCAGGAUGCCGACGCUCACCGCUGCGGCGCCGAUCGCCAGCAGCACGAGCAGCAGGUACGGGGGCAACUUCUUGGUGGUGGUGUUGUUGCCCAUUGUGUGGCCUCUCGAUCUGUACUUGCUUGCUUCCAUCUCCUCUCUGCACGCACCCUCUUAUUGGCACCCUUGCAGGAUCUGCUGUUUACUGCAGGAUGGGACAACUGCUGUGGCAGCAGUGUGAAGAAACUGGAGCUUCCUUUUCUUAGUUGCUUCGAUUCUGGAAAGGGAAGUGAACUUGCUUAGGAAUGGAGGAACGAGACACUAGGAAGCUCAAAGUCUGAGGGCUAGGGUACAUUGUGUAUGCUUCACUUGCUCCAAGGUGAUGCACAUGCUUCAUUUUACUAGUUGAUUUGUUUGAGCCUUAGAGAGGUAUAAAGCCUGGCUCUCUUUGACUUUUGCUGGUUAUCGUGAGACGUAGGCAAUAUUAACUACGAUGCUUACAUUUGCUUCUUGAUCUCACAUUAAAGGCAUCUUUGAUCACUAGUUUAUUCGCAGAGACAAGCCACAGCUUUGCCGUGAAGUCUAUCGAACCCUGCACUCCAUGGGCUUAUUUGGAUGCGCUCGCGAGCCAGCCAGCUUUCUCAGGAUGAUCAUAAGCAAACAAGCCCUAAGCGCUCUGCGUUACCGGAAGAAGAUACUCUUGGAAGUUCCAUACUGAUACUUUCCCUAAGGAAUUGAGGCGGUUUACCAUCAAACUUUUCAAAAAUUAGUCACUAACAAUUGGACUUCAUGACAUGUAAAUGGAUAAGGAUCACUACUGUUCAGGUGAGCUGCGUGCAUAAAUGUUACGCUGUUACUGAAGAACUAUCACAAUUCAUGCACAUAGCUAAUUGGCUCAGCAAGAUACAAUCAAAAACAGCCCUCCAAACCGACAAGAAUUCACACAGAGGUAAAAUAAUGAUGAUUAACUAUCAAAGUUAAAUCAUAGAGCUAACACUCCCAAAAGCUAAGUGCCUAGAAAAAAAAUUAUCCCAAUUCUUUUAACAGUGUGUACUUCCCCAGAACACAUCGUAGGUAUCAAUAAGUAUGAACUAUAAAGGGGACAGAACCGUGUACUUGAACACUACAAACAUAGAAAGCAAAUCUAAUAUCAUAGCAUGAUCAAUGAGUAUGCGAUAAACUCAUCCACAACUGUGAGUUUAACACAUCAGGUUACCAUUUUAACCAGUGGGCAAAAAAUGCUUCUGCCAAAAUGAGGUGGAAGAAAAAUUGAAAGGAAGUUUCUCACAAGGGCCUACUGCAUGCUUAAACACGCUCUCUUUUCCCUUCUACUUCUUCCAAAAUCAAAUAUCAAGAAUCAAUAUGUAAGAUAAGAUGUGCUGCUACAGUACUACAUGCCUACAUCACUAUAAGCUGAGAAGAAGUUUUCAGCUAAGAGUUCCAUCGACUGUGUUCUCCAAAUGCCCACUUGAAUCAAUAUUAUUUGAGUAUUUUUCUGGACCUAAAUAGCUGAAAUUAGAUCAUCCAAUGAUCUACAUAUAUGAUGAAGUCGAUGCAAGUCUUCAAACAUUGGAGCAGCUCUAAAAAAUCGAUGCAAAGAAUAGUGAUCAGUACAGUGAGGAGUGCAUGCAAAAUGACCUAGUCCAGUAGUCCCUAUAAAUGUCGAGGUUAGAACAUUGUUACCCUGUUACUUUAAGAGGCCUACCAAACACACAAGUCAAAUUUAUUCAAGUAAGGAACUAAGAUAUCAAACAGUACUAAGAAGUUACAACAAGAACAAAGAACUAGAUGACUAACUGCUUCACAGCCGAUUCAUAUGGAGUCAAACUGCCUGAAACGAAACAUUAAUUGAUGGUUCCAUGCUUAAACGCACAUCACUGAACAUUCACAUCCUAAACACACGAGGAGACAAGCCUUCAUCCUCCCAAUCCAACACGAAGGUAAUCGGAUCUCAGCAUAUACAUCCUUCCCUCUCAUGCACCCUGAAAAAUAGACCAUAGAUUCACCAUUAAAUACAUUUCUUUAGAAAUGUAUAGGCACUCCUAGCAUAGUGUUUGCAUUCAGUUUUUGGACCAAAAGACAAACAGAUGGAGGCAGAGGAAUGCUGCCGGGCAUCACAACUCAGGAAAAAAGCAUUGGCGCCUCAUCUGAAUAUGAUGCAAAAACUGCUGUUUAAAUUUCGUCGCUAGCAAAAGGUGCUUCCAAGGUAGCAUUUUCCUGGGUCGUCACUCUAUCUUCCACAUCAACGAAAUUGCUACUUAUACUAAUAUCAGGUGUACAUUCAAAUUUCAAGAGCUCUUUACAGUAGUCUGUAGCUAUAGUAAGGAUGUCUUGUGUUAUGUACAGCCCCUCGGGGCCUUCCAUAACAUGGAUGGUUCUUCACCAUUAUAUACAUAUAAACUCAAAAGGGAAAAUUAAGGAGAAAAACAUGUAUUCACACAAAUUCAUACUAAUCAGACAUUAUGUAACAUAAAAGCAAUUCCACUUGCCAGCUAUAGCACAAUGGACUUACAUUAAAAUGAAGAUGCAUGGCCAGAGUUAAUUAACUCUGGCGGUUGUAAAACUCCAGUUGUUCAUUCAACCUGAAUAUUGAAAUGUACCACAAAUUCCUAUAGCAAUAGAGGUUAUACACUAGAAUAAGAAACAAAAAUUACCAUCGUAGCAGCUCAUCAUAGGUCUCAUCGUCAUACUCUUCGUGGAAAUCAUCCAAGGAAAGUGAAAUCCUUUCCAUUAUCACAGGAAGUACAUCGCCAAGAAAAUGAGAAUUAAUCAACAGAAGUUCAGACAAGCUUCCCAACUGCUGGUUGCCCCAUUCAUCCUUCAAAUGAAAUCAACAGUGAGCAUUAUGGUACAGUACAGAAGAAAUGGAAACAGCACUGUCCAGCUAGCUUUAAGAGAGAAAAAUUCAAGGACCGGCUUCUCACCAUGGAGGCUUUUGUACCAUGAUACCUCGAAUGGCGCUGGAUUUUCAAUCCAUCUCCAGCGGUUCCAUCAAAGGGCAACAUACUUUUGUCUUCAGGGUUACCUUCACCAGCAAUGUUCUCUCCAAAACAAGGUUCAUUGUCUUUGUGGAUUCCUGCAGCUACUUCACUGGGAUUAUUUUCACUGAUAUCUUGCAUCUUCUUCUUUGCAUGUUCCCAAACAGAAGUAAGCACUGGAGGAACAACACUGUUAUCAACUAGGUAGCGCUCAUCCAUAAAUAUUUUGCGCCAGUCAGAAAAAGGAUUGGGAACAUUAAUGACAGAUUCCAGCAAUUUUUUGGCCCUCCAACUCACGGAUUGAUUUACUGAAUAAAUCCCAUCAAUGAGUGCCAGAUUUGCCAAUGCUGAUUUCAAUGCCGGAUGAGAUGCAAUGAAGUUGCAGAAUUCUCGCAGCUUUGUCAUGCUAUAUUUGGAAGAGAAUACUCUGAGUGAGGAAUCCAGAUGCAUAAAAAAUACUGGCAGUUUACCAUCAAACACAUAUUUAGAUAUUACAUUAGUGGCGCCCCUAGUCAGAUCAUUCUGAAUUGUGUUGAUUGUUGUUCUCUCACAGUAUGGACGGGCAAUUUCAACUUCCAGUUUGCGAUUGACUAAGACAUCAGGAAGACCCCAUUCUCCAUUCCAACUUCUACCAUCACAGAAAGCAUCAGACAUCGUACUGAAUAAAUUUGCUAAUACAAUCCGCCCAAUUAGGGUGCUCUCAGGUAUCAUCAAAUGGAUGCCACCACAGAAAAUGUCAAUGGGGUCAUAUGGAUGGUUACCCUCUAGAGCAAAAAAGGAUUCCAAUGCCAUCCAACUGCAAAUAUAGUAUAUUGUUAACUAUAUGUUAAGAUGAACAUAGUCAAUACUGGAUUCCUGCAAAAAAGGAUUCCAAUGCCAUCCACAGGUAAUGCUUCUUCAAUGAAAAGAAGAGUACAAUCCUACCUGUUUGGCUCUAGAAGAUCAUAAAUGAUCACAACUGGAUUUUCACAGGAACAAUUCAGGUCCGCCUUCAGAUCCUCAAUAAAAAUGCGUGCAGCGUUAUUAAGAUUACUUUGAAUCCUGCAAGAAAUAUAGGAAAUUAAAAUAUAUUGGCAAAGACGGAUCUAUCAGUCAGACUUGACUAUGAAAAACGGAAAAAUACCUAUCAAAACAGUUGCAUAACAAUGUCGCAAGUGGACCAUUAGAAGAUAACACAUGUGCAAAUCGAACAAUCAUCUGUUGAGAAUCCAGCUCCUUCAUAGCCAUGACGGCUGUCUUAUAAAACUGCUUGCCAUUUACUGUGUAUCUGCUUAAAAAUGGGUCAGAUGUAAAUUCAUUUGGUAUCAUAAGCCUAAAAAAAUAAGACAGGUUGAAACUGACUCUCUUAGGAAUUUAAGGAAUUCCGGUUCCAAUUCUUCAUCUCGUUGCUGAGUGAAAAAGGCGGCAAAUUUGGCUUUCACAUGGUCAAAUGUGGGAGCCCUGGUAGCAUUAGACCUGGCAGACGAGCUUUGCGUAGCAUUUGAACUACUACCACUUUGCGCCACUGAGCUGGGAAGCUGUCUGGCAGAUUUCAAAUCUAGCCUCUAGAAUAAAAGAAAAAAAGGAGAGAAAGCAUUUGAUGAGUUACACUGUGACAGCACUAUGAUUCAAGUGUAACUCAACACCGCGAUGAGAACAGAACUUACUAAAAAAUUGUAAAAGCAUCACAUGAGCUACACUCUUACAGCGCUAUGCAUAAGUCUACUCAACACUAUGAUGAGAAGAACUUACUUCAAAGAAAUGUAAAAGCAUCAUAUGAGCUACACUGUUACAGCGCUAUGCAUAAAGUCUACUCAACACUAUGAUUAGAAGAACUCACUUCAAAACAGCAAAUCUACUAGAGUGAACCAAAUUGUAUAAAGGAGUAGCAGGAACAUAUACAUCAAAGUUAAAUAAUUCUUUUGUGUGUGAGAGCUCUGGUGUAAAUGUGUUAUCAGUGUUACUUCUAUUAUGAGAAUAUUUUUAUUUGAUAGGUUGUGUACCAUACCUGUGAGGCAAGCGUGUAAAUGAUAAUACAGCUUUAUGAUUAUUAACUGUGUAAAGAUGAUUGCAGUAGAAACCAAUUAGAAAGAACAUAUGAAUCACAUGUUAUAACACAUAUACCUAUCUGAAUCCACUAAUCAGAACUCAUGUAACCAUGGGUACCAUAGAACAGGGAUCAUGUAUUUCGAGUUAGGGCAUAGAAAAUGCACCAACAUGUUGCACAUUACUCUAUAAAUAAAUUGUUAGCCUAAUCAUCUAUACUUUCGAUUUAAAAAUAAAAUUUUAUAUGGUAGUCCACUGAUGUCUUUAGAAAUAUAGCUAGUUCUAUUUGUUAUGCAGAAGUACAGGUAUCUUUGCAGUGGCAAUUAGAGGUAAGGUCAGAAAGUACCUUUGUUAUGUGAAAGUACUCUGCACUUUGUAGUUAAAAUAGUUUGCGGUGAGAGAUCUGAUCCAAGAUUCUUUUGUUGCAACAAUCAAGAUUUCUGUUCCAAACAUUGUUAGGGUUGCAGCCGCGUUGUGCCACCUCGGCCAAAUUGGCAAAAAUAAUGUCCAGCUCAGCAUUAGAGUGGCAAAUCUGAAGAUGUGUUCGUAAGGAUGGUUUUUGAAUGUUUGACUCUAGGAAUGAUGGCGAAUAGUUAAAUAGCCCUCCUCCUUGAGCUCCCCUCACCUCAGCCUCACGGCGGAGCCUUGCAAGGCGGGCGUGGCGACGAGAGGAUAGCACCCACCCUCCUCUCCACCCCAAGCACACAUGCUUCGCCGCCGUUGGUAAAAAUUAUCUAUUCUAUACAAUAAAAGUUGAAACAAUUAAAAUUUUUUUCACCAAGAUUAGACCCAGCGUCCAUCUACCAGCCCAAAGAUUUGACGAAAGGGGGGUGGAGACCCACGAAAUUGAAAGAAGAAAAAUGUUUCCACCUAAAAGCUAAAACUUUUUUCACCGAAAUCUUCUACGUACCCACCCGGUGUACCUACCGUACAAAGCACCCUCGCACGCACAAUUAAGAGAGAAAAUUAAUCCCCACAUAUUUCUUUUCUUAUACACCCUCUCCCGCCUAUUUUCUCACCGAAGCACCUUCUACCCGCCCACCGUACCAGCCCUUGAUUACUGCGUGUAGUGUUUUAGGAAAGCAAACAUUCAACCAGGGAAGAAAUUUGAUAUUUCCUCGCCCCGUUGCCUUCUUUGGCGUUGCGUACGGCAGAAUCGCCAUGCCCUCUUUCCCUUCCUCGGCCGCUAGAGUCACCGUGCCCAUCGCCAGGCAUCCUUUCCAUUGCCUUCCUCGGCAUUGCGGACGUCAGAAUCGCCGUGGCCUCCUUCCCCUCGUCAGCGGCCACAGUCACCGUGCCCCGCCCGCGAUGACACUGUCAUCCUCUUCGGCCGCGGGUGUGGCGGCGGCCACCGGGGGAACCGCUUCGGUAAGCUGGAGGGCCGUCGCGCUCGCCCCCUCUUAUCCAGCUACGCCGCUCCUUGCUCAGGGUCCGACGCCUCCGCUCCCCGGGCCGCCCUUCCCAGUCCGCGACACCAGUCCACCGUGUCCCCAACGGCUUUGUCUGUCCCUUCUUCAUCUGCAGCAUCGGGCUCCUACCAUUCGGGUCCGUGGGAGGACGACGGAGGGCGGGUCGGGUUCCAAUGCUACGACCCUCGGUGGAUUGGACAUCUUCAUCUACCGUGCCGGCGGCGGGGAGGAGGCGCCGUGGUUGCGCCGGCUGACCUGCGAGGACUACAACAACUGCUUUUACUUCAACGUUGGUCUCCUCCGGCGGCUCGGCGACGACAUCGCCGACGAUGACCAUAUCUAUGUAGUCUCACUCUCCCGGCUCCCGCACGAGGGUGCCAUGGCAGUUGGACCUGCACCUCUUCCACCUCUUCGACUCGAAUACUGAAGCAUGAAGCUGCAGCAUUGUGUCGCCGGGUCGAGAACACCAAGACACUCCAAAUGAUGUUGCAUUUUGAGAUGCUCUCUGUCUCUGUAACGACCCCUUGCCGCCGGCAAGGAUCCGGGACGUGAGCAAUCACAGAGAGAGAUCAGAGGUAACGGAGACAGAGAAGAGAACCAUGAACCCCGAGCUUCUCUUCUUCAGAAUGUUCAUAGUCCGACAACCCAAGGGAACUCGGCCUAUAUGCACGAGCCUAGACACUGACAUACCGGGUCUGACUUAAAUCACACAUCGAUGGCGUACUGUAGAGUUCCCGCGUUCUGCAUUACAGUCUCUAAGCGCUGCAGCCUGCAGGGUAAUGACGAUGGCACCCAUCUCCUCAGGAGCGUGGAGACGCUCCACAUUGGUCAUCCCAUUCCCAGGCUCAGCUUGAACGAAGGCGAUGUUGUCUAUACCUCAUGGCCAAGGUUGGGCCACGGGACAAAAAGGCAUGUGUGCUCGCUGUUGACUUCAAGAACAAGAGGCUACAAUAUGUGGGCGUAUUUCGUGCAGAUAAAUCACUUUCCGAUACUCAGGGCUGCAUGAACAGUAGUAUGUCCAAGUACUUUAUUUUUUGUUACAACACUAGGAAAUUACUAUUCCUAAGCAGCGUUUGCAUGUAUCUAUCUCUGAUUGCAUUUACAAUUACUUUCUUGGCCUACAUUUUUGUAGAAAGGGGGGUAAAAGAGUAUCUUGUUACAUAUUUUGCUUCAUGGCCAAUGUCUAGAAAAAAGGGAAAAUUGCAUAUUUGCCACUAUUUUGACCUCCUAACUGGAAUCUGCCAUUAAAAAACGUAGAAUUUCAAAAUUGCCACUCGACCGUCCAAGUAUCUAUUUCAUCUACCACUGCUUCCCCUCAAGAUCAUCCAACAUGGUUCCAAGUUCCAAAGCCAUGAAUUCCACCUGAUAUUGUGCAGAUCCGUUGACACCAAUACAUGACAACAUUAAGAUGUAGAAAUAGUGGAAACUAAAGAAGAACAGAAGGUAAGCUCGAAUUAACAAGUAAUGAAGAUUACCUGGUGGUAUCAGUUCCAUCAUAUUGAGUUUCAAGUAACCAAGCAUAGUUAGAGAAAAGAGCCUGCCCAUUCCAGGAACGUGACACCACACAGUUAUAUGACCUUCAGAACUUCAGUGAGGACAAGCGCCCAUUGUGUCCAAUGUGUUCCUCCCUGCGGCAGUACGUUUCAAGGGUGAUAGCCAGUAUAAGAUAGGAGAAAAGCUUUUAUUUGGUGUCUCAGGGCUAAGAUUCUCAGCAUCAGAUUAAUUACUAACUGGAACCACUUGUGCGCAUACCAUAGCAAAUAAGAGAUUAAACACGACGCAAGGACCCUGAGUAAAAGUUAAAUCAGGAUCUCAGCUUACCUGGCAGAAGACGGCAUAUGGAUCUCUCAAGGGCCCAUCACAUGAUAGUUCACUUGUGCUUCCAUCUAUGAAUGUCCCGUCGGCAAAAAUGACCUGAUUUCAGAGGGUUAAUCACUUUAGUUGUUUCGUUUAACAGGGCAGCAUUUAAUGUUGGAACAAGUCUGUCUUUCAUCAGAAAAUAAAUUUACGAAAUAAACUUUAUGUACAUUGUAAUACAAAUGAUAGCAGGAAGGUAAGAGCGAUGCAAUGAUGAAAGGUAUAGAAAGUUACAAACACACCUCUGAAGCAUAGCCAGGAGUUUCCCCAGCAGUUGGUUUAACAAAUGACCCUACUGGGCAAGUUUGUUGCACCACUUCACAGAAUGCUAUGAGUCUCUCCCUGUUGCCAAGUUCCACUGCCUGUGAUUUUAUUUUCAAGUCUUCAUUAUUUAUUGACCUUAAAAUUCUUGAAUACUUGCUAUCGCUGAAAUGCGCAAUAUGCAAUGUUGUAAAGAGGGUUGGCCUUCUGUUUAACCUGCACAAUAUCAUGGCGAGGAACCCUUGGAAGUGGUUGAACUCUGUAGCCCUUGGCUGACAUGACUUCCGCAAUUAGCAAACCUCCCUAUGGAUCAUACUAUAUCAUCAAUUGCGUAUAUAGUAUCGUCACAGAUGUGAGAAUUAAGAACCUACUUUUAUUGCUUCUCCAACCAUUUGUGGAGCAAGAAACAAGCCUUGGAAAAGCGAACGCAUAACAUGGCCAGGUAUUGAUCCAAAUUCUACCCCAAGGCCAGGUGCAGAUAGGCGAGCAGCAGCUGCUUCAACUAAAUUUCUCUUCCCAGCAACAUAACCACCACAAGGCGCAAUAGUUCCACCCGGAUUCUUUAUCAAACUACCAGCAAUCAAGUCUGCUCCCUGCCAUGAAAACACACAAUGAAUAGAGGUAGAGCUAACCUUCAUGAGAUGGUGAUAAUCAAGGACAUACCACCAUUGCAGGUUCGGAUGUCUCAACAAAUUCACCAUAGCAAUUGUCAACCAUCACCAUGCAGUUUGGGUUUUGCAACUGCAGAGAUCCAAACGAUGAAAACCAUCAGCACACAAAAGCUAAUAUAGGUACAGAAGGUUGCUGGGCCCCAGACAGGAAGUUAUCUUGCCUUGAUCAAACUUAUAGCUCUGUGAAUAUCAGCUACACUUAAGCUCUUGCGCCAAGAGUACCCACAAGAUCUCUGAAUGAAGGCACAUCCAGUUUCUGGUCUGAUGGCGCAAGCAAGGGCUUCCCAAUCAAGGCCACCGUCUGCUGCGAGCUACAACAGAAGAAUCAUCAUUAACCUAUCCUCAGCACGAGGCAACACAGUCAACCAUUUAAAUCUAUUCUAAGGGAGAUAUCGACAGACCAGAACUUCUCGGUACGCCACUCCAAAGUCUUUGAGUGAUCCUACAUUGGCCGACCCCCUGAUGCCAAUCACCUCCUCUAAGGUGUCGUACGGAGGACCAGAGACUGCCAGGAGCUGCAGGAAUUCAUCAUUUAUCAAUCUGAAAAAUCUAUCAGAAUCAGGUGCAAAGACUUGUGCAUUCAGUUCAAUUCGUCCCUUACCUCAUGCCCAGGCCUCAGAAGCGCAAAUAGCGCACAGGCAAUGGCGUGCGUGCCGGAGAAGAACUGGCACCGAUGGAGGAAUUAUUACAUCAGAGAGUAGCUCGGUCAAACAGACGUAAGCAACGAAUGGAGCGAAACGAGACAAUGUUGUGUGUCAAAGGUGGAACCUGUGGGCGCACAAUGGCGGUCUCGGCGCCGACGAUUUCGGCGAAUACGGCGUCCAGCGCCUCCCGGCCGCCGCCGUCGUCGUGGCCAUACCCCGUCGACCCGCCGAAAUGCUGAAACAAACGCGCGUUUACUAGCGGAGUGAGCUCGGAUGCCAGGCAGAGCAGCCGUAGAGGAGUAACGAGUGGGUUACGUGCGGGGCGACGCGGGCGCGGCGGAAGGCAGCGGCGACGCGGGAGGAGUUGAGGGCGAGGGCGCGGUCGACGGCGCGGAACUCCGCCUGCAGCGACUCCGCCGCGCGGGACACGUCCGGGUGGAACGCCACGUCAGACGCCCCGGCCGCGACCGCGGGCGCGUACGCGCGACACCGGCGGACGCGCAGGGCGGCAGAGGCGCGAGGCCGCGCCCACGCGAGGGGGGUCGAGCAGCAGCCGCCGGUGGUCGUCAUCGCCGCGGCCGCAGCAAGCUAGUGAACCAACCAACCUCCCGGCCGCCGGCGAGGUUCGCUCUGGCGGAUUAUCCUUGCGGUCGCUUCGCUCGUGUAGUCGUGUGCGGUGGGUUGCCGAUUGAAAUGGGCCCAUCACGCGCGGAUCUGGAUGGGCCUGGCUCCGUCCUCUAGGCCCAUUUGAUCAACAGCUUAGGCCCGGCCCAGCACUCUUUGCGUGGGCGUGCACGUUUGCAAGGCCACGCCCACCCACCGAAAUGGCAACGCUUGCAGCAUCAGGCACCGGCCGGCUCCAUCGUCCCGUCCUUGUUGCUUAUCUCGGGAUGCCAAGCCAAAGCAGUGGUAGCUAGCAGCCUUAGAGAGAGAGAUGAGAAGAGAGAGAGAGAGAGACCAAGAAGAAGAUGACGCAACCUGAGCAUUAGCCUCGCCGAAAAAGGAGUCGCAGUCACCACCGGCCAGUCAGCAACUGGGGGAACCAAUGGAGCUAAGAGAAGCAACAUGAGCAUGGUGAGGAAGAGGACCAGCCUGAACUGAAGAAGAAGCACGCACGAUGCUUGCACGCAACCAAGCCCAUCGCCUUACCUUCCCCUUCCGCCGGCUAUAUUACUCGAUCUCCGCAGGCGCUGCUGUGGCAUUCGCUCAUACAUCUCAAGCUACUGUGCGAGUGACGCCAUCGAUCGGGUACAAACAAUGGCCUCUGGCGGCAAGGGCCUGUUGACCGGUUCGUUCCUGCGAGCGGCGGCGCUCGGGCUGGUUGUCCUGGCGUCGGCGGCGCCGGUGGCUCGGUCGUGGAGCAAGGAGGGGCACAUGCUGACAUGCCAAAUCGCGCAGGUGAAUCGGAUCAUUUCUCAUGUUAAGUGCAGGCGGCGAUGGCUGGAAGUCUGAAACGGGAUGUUGCGUUGCAGGAUCUGCUGGAGCCUGACGCCGCGCACGCCGUGAGGAACCUGCUCCCGGAGGACGUGGGCGGCGACCUGUCGGCGCUGUGCGUGUGGCCGGACCAGGUCAGGCACUGGUACAAGUACACGUGGAGCGGCCCGCUCCACUUCAUCGACACCCCUGACAAGGCCUGCACCUUCGACUACGCAAGUAAGUUUUCCCAAGCAGUGCAGUUCGAUGGCGCUGAUUGGCCAUCGUGUCUCUCUGUUUCUUUUGUGAUGAAAUGCAAUGGAAUGGUAAGCGGUGAGCAGGGGACUGCCACGGCCCCGAUGGCGCCAAGGACAUGUGCGUCGCCGGCGCCAUCGCCAACUUCACGUCCCAGCUGCUCCACUACAAGCACGGCAGCGCCGACCGGAAGUGUAAGCAGAGCAGGAUGUUUAGUUGUGUACCUCAACCAAUGGUUCUGUAUCUUUACGUGUUCCAACCACUUUCUGAUUGCAAUGCAGACAACUUGACCGAAGCCCUUCUGUUCCUGUCACACUUCAUGGGAGAUGUUCAUCAGGUAAUCCGGCCUGCUACUUCUUUCUUUCUUUCUUUCUUCCUUCCUUCCUUCCUUCCUUCCUUCCUUCCUUUCCAUUCACGGUCCAGUCACCUUAGCAUGAAUCCCAUGUCAUGCUUAACUCGUAGUCCAUUGCCAGUAGAUCAUGGAGCCCAUCAAGUGGCUAAUUUCCUGUGUGCUUGCAGCCGAUGCAUGUGGGGUUCACGAGCGACCAAGGCGGUAAUUCCAUAGACCUGCGGUGGUUCAGGCACAAAUCCAACCUCCAUCACGUACGUAACGAACGCCCACGAUCCUUGCUUGCUUGCACAGAUGACACAUUCCGAUCCGCACUGGUGAAAUCUUUGUUGGUCGUUUUCAGGUGUGGGACAGGGAGAUCAUACAGACAGCUCUCGCUGAAUUCUACGACAAGGACAUGGGCACCUUCCGGAAGCAGCUUGAGCACAACCUUACCAAGGUAAGUGAAGACGAUCCAGUGCUGACUAAGGAACUCUUUCAAGCCAAGAAACAGAACUAUAUCUCUCGAUGUGUUCUUCAGGGUACCUGGUCUGACGAUGUAACAUCUUGGGGAGACUGCGAGGACCUUCUGUCGUGCCCAACCAAGUUAGUAUUCUGAAUCCUGAAAUCUCACUCUGCAAGUAUAGAAGCUAUUACGAAGUAGACAUUUUUUUUCACCGCUUGUACUGUUUGCAUUGCAUGUGGAUAACAUCAACGUGCUUCUUGAUACAACAGGUACGCCACGGAGAGCAUAAGCUUGGCGUGCAAGUGGGCCUACAGCGGCGUCCAUGAAGGGGAAACCCUAUCCGGUAAGUUCGUGCAAAGGAUGACUCUGCGGAUCUCUGAACCGAAACAGCUGCUGAUAGAUGCUGAUGAAACUGUGCAAUGGCGGCACCAUUUGCAGAUGACUACUUCGGUUCGAGGCUGCCGAUCGUGUCGCGGCGGAUCGCGCAGGGGGGAGUGAGGCUGGCCAUGUUCCUCAACCGGAUCUUCGGCCAGCACAACCGCGACGUGGCGGCGCCAUCCUGACCGACGCCGGCGGCUGCAAUUUACUUAGAAUCUGAAGCCACACGCCCAUACUCUGUAAUCUGACGGCUCUCCUGCAUCUAAUAUAUGCUAAUAAUCCCGUGUUACGUGACGUGCAGUGUAUUUGAUUUGUGAUAGACUAGCAGCUUCUGCAGGAUGAUUGAUCUUAUGUAUAUGAUGAACAACAAAUCUGAACGAGAGUACAGAGAUCCUCUUAAUAAAAUACGUGCUCAGGCAGGAUCGCGAAAAACAAUUCUGAAAGAGACGCAUAUCCGAUCCAAUGGUAGUUGAUACAUGCACACGGCUAUGGACGACGGUGUAUGCAGUGAUUUUUUUUUUUCGAGACGACGGUGUAGUGUUGCAGUACAGAGUGCAGUGCAGACCAUAGACCAAGUAGGAGGAGGUUGGAGACGAAAAAACGCAUGUACUAGGCGCUAGCUAGCUGUUGGAUCGGCCACUGAUCACGGCGCGGUUUGCGGCGAGGCCAAUCUAAUCCAGGCCAGCGCAUCGAGCUCUCGGCUCGAUCUGCCGUGUUCCAUCACCUUCCAUCUUCCAAUUCGGCUGGCACGAACAGGUAGUAGCAGAAGCGUCGUCUAUCUGAGUCGGCUUCGUCUGCGGGCCCCGACCUGAACGGUCACGCCCCGACUCCUGAGCUGCUGCUGGCUGACGAGUGACGACGCGCGCGGUGCGUGACGCCCGACGCCCGAGCGCCCGGGUCACGUGGCGGCAGGCGGCCAGCUAGCCGCCUGCGCGGCCGCCGACAGGCCAGGCGAUCGCCGGGCGCCGGCCGGCUGGACGGCCGAGAGACCAGAGGCUAGGUACGCCGUGGUACUCCCACAAACUUCUCACGAAUUUCUCUGGUGCCCGCGCAUUGCGCGGCCGUGGGGUCGUUGCCGAUCCGGCCGCCGGCGCCGGAGCAGAUACUUGCGGAUCGGUGCAUGCCGCUGGCCGCUCUUGCGCCAAUAAUCUCGCCGCAGCGCCAGCCCACUCAAUCUCAAUUUGAUCGAUCGUCGCGUUUCCCGGAUCGUCCGCAGGAGGAGCGAGCGGCGCGCGGAACGGGUGGGUGGUUGAUGGCGGCGGCGACCAAGGUGAUCGGGUCCGAACCAUCGGAAUGCUUCCAGUUCCAAGAGCCCAAUACCUGGUAUUUUUCUGCCCUGUUGUCUCCCUCGUGUUCACUGUUUCUUCUUAUGUUGCGCUCGUAUUCCUGGUUCGAGAUGAUGUACAGUACAGAUGCAAGCAGAUCAGUCGGCUGAUUCGUUCCCGUGUUUUCUCGUCGUAUAUGCAACGCUGUCAUCAGUGUCUUCGAUCUUAAUUACAUCUGCAAGUCAUGGGCUGCACUAAUCUGAUGAAAUCUCUUUUUUUAAGAUUGAAGAUCCUGCUGAAUUUAGUCAAAUAAUUAACUCAUCCGACUUCCACAUUAUUUCAGAGUCAUGUAACAGGGCUAGCAUUUGUGUCUUUUGUGGUCAGAUACUCAGAUUCAAAUGAGAUCCUUGUAUUUUAGAAAAUCUGAGCGAAGUCUUUGAUAACAUGGAAGAUGGAACGAAUGGACUGAUGAACCCUGCAGAAUCUUUGAUACUUUCUCCGCACUUUGACACUAGAAAUCUUGCUGCUGCUGAUAACCACAAUGGCCCCCUUGCAGGAUUUGCAAUACUGAGCUUCAAAGUGAUGUGGUAGUUGAAGUAGGAGAGAUAUCCUUCCAUCUCCACAAGGUACAUGUACAUUUUACCCCUCCCUCUCUUUUCUAGCACAUCAUGCCAAUCAUUUUCCAGUGUUGUAAUAAUGCUUGCUCAAAUAUGGAAAAACCUUGCCGCAUUGUGCUACAUGGCCUGAAUUGCAGAUUUGCAGAUAAUAUGCUAUGCUACAUUCAAAUGUCAGAUAACUUGGAAAUUUUCAGUACGUGCAUUUUCUGCACACCGACAACGUUUAAACACUGUCUGUAUUUUUCUUCUUGUUCAGUCUCCAUUGAUCAGCCGUAGCGGCACGCUGCAAAAGCUGAUCAACGAGGCCACCGGCGAUGACGACGACGAGGACGGCGGCGGCAGCAAACCGUGCAUGGUCCGGCUGGACGACGUCCCCGGCGGCCCUGACGCCUUCCGGCUGGCCGCCAUAUUCUGCUACGACGUCAGGAUGGAGCUGAACGCGGGGAACGUCGUGCCGCUCCGAUGCGCAGCCGAGCACCUAGCCAUGACAGAGGACUACGGCGAGGGGAACCUCGUGGAGCAGGCCGAGGCCUUCCUCUCCCAAGUGCUGGGCACCUGGAACGACGCCGUGUGCGCGCUGCACGCGUGCGACGCCGUGCUCCCUGACGCCGAGGACCUCCUCAUCGUCCCGCGGUGCAUCGACUCGCUGGCGAGCAAGGCCUGCGCCGACCCGACCCUCUUCGGGUGGCCCAUGCUGGAGUACUACACGGCGAAGAGCCUCGAGGAGACGGUGGUCUGGAAUGGCAUCAGCACGACCGGGAAGCCGCGGUCCCUCGGCGCGGACUGGUGGUACAAGCAGGCGUCGUCGUUCAGGCUGCCGGUGUACAAGAGGCUGAUCUCGGCGGUGCGGUCCAAGGGCAUGAGCCCCGAGAACGUCGCCGGCUCGCUGAUGCACUACGCGAGGCGCCACCUCUCCGGGCUCAGGCGGCACGGGGAUAACAGCGACGGCAGCAGCCGCGGCGGGGCGCCGGGGACGACGACGGCCGUGCUCUCGGACGGUGACCAGAGGGCCCUCCUCGAGGAGGUCGUCGCGCUGCUCCCGGCCGAGAAGGGCGUCGCCCCGACGCGUUUCCUGCUCGGCUUGCUCCGCACAGCCACGGUCCUGCACGCCAGCGCGGCGUGCCGGGACGCUCUGGAGAGGAGGGCCGGCAACCAGCUGGAGGAGGCCAUGCUGGAGGACCUGCUGAUACCCAACACCGGCUACUCCGCGGAGACGCUCUACGACGUGGACAGCGCGCAGCGGAUGCUGGAGCAGUUCAUGAUGACGAGCACGUCGGCGUUCGCCGCGUCGCCGGAGAUCACGGACGAGGGACAGCUGGUCGACGCCCCCUCGGCCGAGCUCAUGCCGGUCAGCACGGUAGCCAAGCUCGUCGACGGGUACCUCGCGGAGGUCGGCACGGACACCAACCUCAAGCUCUCCAAGUUCCAGACCAUCGCCGCGCUCGUCCCGGACUAUGCCCGGGCAAUCGACGACGGCCUCUACCGCGCUAUUGACAUCUACCUCAAGGUAAAGAAAAACUUAUUGAGCUUAAUCGAUCGAGCUGAAUGAUCAAACACAUGAAUGCCUGUGGUCUGCGGCGUGCAGGCUCACCCGUGGCUGACGGACUCGGAGCGGGAGCAGCUGUGCCGGCUGAUGAACUGCCAGAAGCUGUCGCUGGAGGCGUGCACGCACGCGGCGCAGAACGAGCGGCUGCCGCUGCGCGUCGUGGUGCAGGUGCUCUUCUUUGAGCAGCUCCGGCUGCGCACGACGGUGGCCGGGUGGUUCUUCGUGUCGGACAACGCCGACCAGGGCUCCAGCUCCGACAACUGCGUGCUGCCACGGAGCACCGACGACGACGAUGUGGAAUUCGCUGCAGGGUCGGAGACGACGGACGAGGACGGCUCCGCGGCGGGCCGGCACGUCGAGCUGUCGCCGGCGAUGAGCGUGGAGGAGGUCCGACAGAGGGUGUCGGAGCUGGAAGAGGAGUGCUCGAGCAUGCGGCAGGAGAUCCACAAGCUCGGGAAGCCCAAGAGCGCCCUGAGCCGGCUGUUCGGGAAGCUCGGGCUCAGCGAGAGGUCGUCGUCGCGGGAGCGGCGGCAGCAGCAGCAGGAGCCGCUGCCGGGCGCCAGCGACAAGAGGCGCAUGUCCUUUGGAUGUUAACAUGGGAAUUGGGAAGGUUUAGGCGUGAGAUAACUUGUCCGAGGCGCAUGUCCUUUAGAUGAUUCAUCUUCAAAUGUAGGUAGAAAGUGCAUUUGAUUCAUUCUUUUCAAUUUCUUUUGCCGAACAGGUGACUUUUAGAAUGUGCAUGUAACUUCAUUUUAGGCAAUGCUGAACAUUCUUAAGAUUUCCCCUACUGCUUCGACCUGCUCUUACUCGUACCUAAUUUGUCCACUAGAUGACUAGACACCUUGUAGACGGCUACAUGAGUACAUGACUAACAGUAACAGCAAAGAAUCAUUUGGCAUACGUAACCCAACAAGUUGAUAUCACUAUAGCCUGUAAAAGGAUUACAUUCUGCAAUUGCAUCCAAAAGGCAUUGCUUUAAGUGGCGACUACAAUGUCAGAACAGCAAGUAGCUACAGGGCAAAACUUAUUAGCUCUGUUUACAUGAGGAAAGUUAAGCAGGGCCCGCUGGAGACCGAGUGGCUCCCUAUAGUAUCAGAUUUUCUCAUUCACCACCCACGCAUGCGCAGCAUGGUCUGGGGAAAAUAUGCAGUUGCACAGAAUACUGAAACCAGCAAUAUCCCGUUGAACAAAAAGGAAGGAAAAAACCAUGGUCAAAAUCAAGAGAAUGUGGUCGAAGAAGCACAAGCAUGAAGGAGAGCAAGUGUCUGCUCGGCGAUUGCGCGUUUCCUCGCCUGUUUAACCCACUCGGUAGCUAUUUCAGCUGCUUCACUUCCAUGUAACCCUCCUUCCAAGGCCUCGGCUGCUGUACUCAAGUCUCCGUCCACAAUCAAGCUUUCCACUCUGUUUAUAAGGGACUCAAUGCCAUCUCCAGAAUUAUCCUCUUUAAUCUGGAAACCAAUAGAAUAUAAUGAUUAGAAACUCAGCUAGAAAUCUCAAGGAUAACACACCAACUCAGAUAUACUAAUUAAGACUAAAAGAGGCUCACUAGGGGCAGGGCAGUAAAGGAACACAGUGCCUGCCCUAAAGUUAAAAUGAGGUAUACUAUCAAUUUCAGUUGUAUCAGAUCACUAGGCAGUUCUUGACCACAAGUCAGAAAUGCAAUUGCACAAAAUAUUUCACGAACAUCAAUACAGAAGUCAUAACUGCCCAAUUACUUAACUAGUUAGACAAAAUAUUGCAAUAGCAUUCACCUUGAUGGAAGAAGCAACACGAGCAAGAGCAUGUGUCAGGAUUCCACCACCUCCUGCUGGUAUAAGGCUGAAAUGUCUGAUAGUUUCCUUCAAGGAGUUAAACUGCACAUGAAAAAGUAUGGUCAUUUAGGCAUUUUACUUGGGUGGCCAAACUGAUGGUUCUCAACAAGCAUUCAUGACAUAUUUUUGUGGUUCACAAUCUUUGGAUUAUGACUGCAAAAACUAGUCAGGGUUCACAAAACCAGAAUCCAGGCUGUUGAGUACUGUGCGGUUAGUAUUCCAAACUCCAUAGUCCAUCCAGAACAAUAAGGCAUGCAGCUAUCUUACACAAAACAUCUUGAUAACCAGUAGCUUGUUCCAUAUUCAGUAAGGGUAUGGAAAGAUGCAUUCAUGAAAAUACCUUUUGCUUCAACUCCAUCCGUGUAUCUGACCCAUAAUCUAAAACAUCUUCUGGAAGAGAUGAAAGAGCCAAUUCUAACAGUGAAUCUUUGUCAAUGCCUUCGACAGAUUUACGCAGUAGUUCCACCUCUGACCUGAUUGGUGAUCCACUGGAUAAAGCAUGUUCCAAAGCAAGAGUGCCCUGCAAGAUAAUAACAAAUUAUGUCAGCAUGAAAUCUGAAAAAAGAAGAUAAGAUGACAAUUAUGCUUUCAAUAGUUAGAACUUGGAGGCAAGCACAUAAGGAGUUUCAAGGAAACUUACUAGAGCAAGCUUAUGAACUGAAUGACUCUGCCUAGCUUCUUCAGAUCGUGCAUAAAAUGCCAUACACAGCGCAUCAAUCUGAAACGGAAGCAAAAAAACAAGGUUAGAGUAGAACCAAAUACAAGCAAGCUGAAAUUAUGGAUAACUUGUUUUUCUAGCAAUUGAAGAUAUAUACUGGCACAAAGGGCAUAGAUAACUAAAUUUUCUGCCUGGAAUAAUCAUGUGCUGGGUAGAACAUUGGAAGGUAUUUGAGUGGUAGACUUUAAACAAAAUGUGAGAAAGCUGUAUAGCAGUUAAAGAUUUAUACUGGCACAAAGAGCGUAUAUAAUUAAAUUUGCUGCCUGGAAUAAUCAUGUAUUGGAUAUAACAUUGGGAAGGUAUUUGAGUGGUAGACUUUAAAAAAAGUGAGAAAGCUGUGCUGUCAAGAACAUAGUCCAGAACAUAUAUUAUGACAUCUAUAAAGAGUCACAAAUGCUUGACCUAUAGAAGUACAAAUGUGGUCUACCGAGGAACAGAAAUAAAAAAAUUGUUUGUACACGUCCAGUCAUGUGCUGUUUCAACAUCUUAAUAGGAGCAUUGGCUGAAGAGUUGGGAUGGAAAUAUGAAACAGUCAAAAGGAACAUAGAGUAAUAGGGAAGGAGCGUGGACAGAAUUUGCUAAAUACUGACUGGGAAAUAAUGCAAUCUAUUUCAAAAUACUAACAUAGUCCAUAAUGUUCUAAAUCAGGACUAUUACGACCACAUGUGCAUGCAAUAAGCAUUUAAGUUAGCCAGGCCUCUGCAUUGCAUACCAAAGGUGCAAAGCCAAAUUUGAGAAUACAAUGCCCCUAAACCAAGCAAGACUUUUAAACUGGGUGACAUCAUGUCCAAUGGAUCUUUAUAACACUGCAGACCCUAAAGAAUAUUGAAUAAAGUUCUUACAUUGAGGUUUGCUUCAGCAAUCUGUUCAAUCUGGGUUGCUUUCUCUUUUGCAACAGCUGCAGCCAGUUCAGCUUUUGCCAACUCUUGAGCCUUUUCAAUUUGUUGCUUUGUUUCUUCAUCCUGUUAAAUCAGCAAAAAUAAGGUCAAUUAGUUAAUGAAUUAGCAUAAAUAGAUUAGAGAAUCUAUAGUAGGCAGAACAAAUCUGACACACCUUCCUCUGCAGCUCAUCCCGCAAUUUUUGUUCAGCUUUUUCUUGAAGUUCCCUUACUGCAGCAGCAUUCUUCAGUUUCUCUUUCUUCAAUUCCUGAGAACAGUGAGAUCAUUAAAAAACAUGAUAAAGAUAAAUAAUUCAUCGGAAAUUCAAUGAAAACAAGAUCCACUGCAUAGCACUAUAGCAUAUUAUUGAAUAAAGUGAAGAACACCAAUGCAUAUUGCACUGAGGGUCUUUGACAAUUUUGCUUUAGACUUAAAGAGUGCCUUUUUUCAAAGAAAACUGGAAAAACACAACUUUAAAGUAUUACUCCUGCCCUCCGGUGGUAUCUAGAAUUUGAACAAGUAUCCAGACUGCUGCAUGCUAACAAAUUCUCUCAUGAUAUGGUUAUUUUAGUUAAUUUCAGUAUUUAUAUUAUAAUAGUCAAAGCCUGAGUUUAAGGCAAUGAAAAGCAGUAAAUACCUACACUUUGGAAUCUAAGAAACCCAAUAUGGACCAAAUCAUGCCUGCUUCAUACCUUAUCAAGAAUUGCUGCCUCUUCUGCAUACAUUAGUUCCCUGGCCCUGGUGUCCUUCAGCUCCUUUUCAUAUUUCUCCUGAGAAGAUGCAAGGAAUAGCACAUAGAAAGUAGUACUAUCAAAUAUGUUGUUAUAGAAAAUAAAGAAGUCUUCAGUCUUCACCAUUGUUUGCAAAUUGCUUAAAAUCCAUGACAAUUACAAAAGUAACAAAAUGGUGAAAAUAAUGUAAACCACAAAGGUAAACUAAUGUCGAACCUUGCAUUUUCAGCAAAUAAAGACCACAAACAAGGAAAAACAGAAAUUGUAAAUUGUAAAUGCACACCUUCAACUUUCUUUUCUCUUCCGAAUACAUGUAAGCAUCUGCAUCUGCCUGCUUCUUUUCAGCAGCAUGAAUAGCCUCUAUGAUAUCAAGUACAACUUUACCAUCUUUGGAAGUUUUUUCAGGAACAAUUUCAUCCCUUCUAGUUUCCUUAGCAGCCUGUUUUUUCAUAGAAAAAAAAGGAUAAUCAGAUAAAUAACAAGGAAGAGAUGUUAUUUAAGUGUCAUCAUCAAGUUAUUUCCAGCUACUUCUUUGUCCAUAGAAAGUCCUUCAUCGAGAUUGUUAGAGUCUAAAGAGAUAAGAACUUUGAACUUACUGCAUCUUUUGGAACAUCAGAUUCAUCUUGCAGCAAAUAUGUCUCAGCAAGAGAUUUCUGUUCAGUCAAAUCAGCUCCUGAGAGGUCCUAUGAACAAGGAUUGAUUCAAUGGUCAGAGACAACAUCAUAAACCAUUGCAGAAACAAGACAACACGGACAAGUUUCUCAACAUUUGUACAUUGAAACUACAAGAAACCCCAAGCAACAUCGUCAAUCUCCAGACAGACACAUUGCAUGCGUGUAGUUUGUAGGUCUAGCAUUCACAUGGAGGCGUGCGUCUGUGUGAGGUUGUGUUUGUGUGAGCUCUCAGAUACUACUGCUGUACCUUAGAAGUCCAGGCUAAAAUAAUGUUUAUGACAAUGUAAGGAAAGCUGAACUGUGGGAUCUUCCCUGACAAAAAAGCUCCAGUAGUUCUCAAAUUAACAGUCAUGUAAAUUAAAACCAGCUCACUACCAAAAGUUGUUCAAGAGUGCCAGCUGUCUGACCAAAUUAAAUAGUCAGAAACAAAUAUAGAUGCAACUAUGCAACAACAAACCAUGGGACCGGCACCUUAUGAAGGGCAUACCUACAUAUGUAAACCAAACUGCAAGAGGGUUUCAUUUGCAAUUUUUAGAAUUUCAUAAGAUAAACAGGACACUUAAUCAUACAGCUGGGUCUAGCAUCUAGAUAUUACAAUCCAUGUUACACUCAUAGAAUCUGUUCAAAUGCCAUUUUGGAACUAGCAAAUAGAAGAUUCUAUUCUCUAUCCAUCAACAUGUAAAUAUUAUGAUAAGAAGGCAAGCAAUGAGAACAAAGGAAUCUAUACCUUGGUUGCAUCUACAUCUGUGGGGGAAUCAUUGUAAGGACUACCUGUUGUUGUGUUUGACUGUACUGGAGGAAUUGUGCUGUCUGUCUUAUCAGUUUGCUGUUCAUGAGGAACUUCAACUGUUUCCUUAUCAUCAAGUACAACUGGCUUUAUCUCAACAGCCAGAGAAUCUUGAGAUGGCAGUUUAGUAUCAGAUCCAUGCUCAUCUGGAACUGGAUGUGUCUCGUGGGCUAGGAUUUCUGAUUUCUUUCCUUCUGCAGGAACAAGCUGAUCCCCAUCACUAGUCUCUGAUGCACCCACCUCUUCAUUUGGAAGGUCCUUUGGAGUAUGAGCCUCAUUAUUACUAGCUUGAACAAUCUUGGUGUUAGGUUCUGACAUGAUUUGUGUCUGGUCAACCAUUUGUUCAGAAGGAACCUUCAAAUCUUCAUAAACCUUUGCGACAUCUGGAUUCUUGAAGCUAAAUGGUAAUUUCUUGUCCAUCGAUGAAAGAUCUAUAUAACCAAGUUGAUGUGCACCCAUAGCUGCAGCACCGACCACAAGAGUUCCAAGCACAAGCUUUGAAACAUUGCUUCCUGACUGAGAAGGUUCUUCUUGAGGACCUGGGGCAGUGUUCUGUGUUGAACUCUUUUGAGAUGCCUUUGUCGAGUUGCUUCUGGAUCUAAGGCAUGUUGGAGUCUGGGACAAUAAAAAGGUCAUUUCUCAUUUCCACUGAACAUAUACUAUGUAAAAGAUUUAUGAAAGUAGCAGUAAAAAACCUACAACAGGUUAUAAUCAGUAUCCUACAUGGAAAAUCAAACAAAAUCGCUGGACCUAACAAGCUAAGAUAAAAAAAAAAUACUAAUAGGAACUAACCUACAACAACAUGUUCACAUGUGACAUUAAUCUAGUCUAGGUGGGAUAGUAUUCCAUUGUACCACAUUAUCCCAUUUAAAAUAGCUCCAUCCAGACUUUCUAAAACAAGAACCAACGGCAUCAUAACAAUCAGACACACCAGAGAAGAGCUGCUACCUAUGUUAGCAAGAUAGUUUUACACUAAUUAAGAAAAUAAAGCAUUUCAAUAAUCUGCUGGGACCAGGUCUUUUGAACAACCACAAGCAGCCAUCCUUUAUUAGACAUAGAAUCCACGAGACCCAAAACCAAUAUGGACUAUCUAAACUAAACAUAACAAGUGGUUGUUAUCACUUUCAUAUCAAACAAGUAGACAUUACUCCUAAAACAGGCAAACAAGGUGAUUAUCUUAAAAGAUCCUAAGAGACACGAACAAGGAGAUUAGCACACACAUCAGAGCAUUCUGCUCCAAAUAAUCCUUGCAUCAUUAUACCUAACACCCAAUAUGUAGUACCUAAACUAAACAUAAAUUGUAAUUAAUAUUACUGUCAUAAUCAAAUAGUAGACAUUACUAUUAGCUUGCACUGUCCCAUCAUCCUAAAUCCUAGAACAUCCAACGACAGGCGACCAAGGAUAUCAACAGUUCAACACACCAUUCACAGAUUUGUGUUAUAAAUAUCCUUGCUUGGUUAAUUCAAUAUCAAGAGGCAGAAACUCAGGUAUCAUAUAUACAAUUACCAGCCUAAACAGCAUUUCCAAACUAAUCAAGCCAGCAGAAAUAUACUUAACUAAUUCACCACUUCUAAGUGUCCUGAUUGAGCUCCAACGAACAACCGAUUAUCUAACACAACAGACAACUCUGAGAACAAACAGCCAGACCGAGUGAAGCCCAACGGGAACAGAGCCGCGUACCUCGCUGGAGAUCGGUCUGGGGAUCCUCGCGAGAGACCGCAGCGAGCGCAGAUCCCGCACGCACCUGCAACAGUGGAUAUAGUGGAGCAUUAGGCAUCGAAUCCCUAAUUUGGGGAUGGGGUGAGCACCAGAGUCAGUGCCGGUACCGGCGCAGCAUGGUGGGGGAUGCCAGGGGAGACCACCGCCCCUUGUUGUUCGCGCCCCUGGGGUGAGGAUGAGGAUGAGGAGGUGGAUGGGCGGUGGAGCGAUGCGGCUCCGAUCGCUCCGCAAGGCCACCGCCCCGAGCUGCGCGGCGGCAAGGGAGAGGCAGCUGUGGUAGGGGAGGGGAGGGGAGGCGGGGCGGAGAGCGGCGCGUCGCCGGGCGGCUUCCCGAAUGAACGCUUGGAGAGCAAGUUGGGGGGAUUGUUCAGGCUAAACAGGGGCGGCGUAAAUUCGUAGCUUUUUUUGUUGAGACGGAAACACUAAAUCGAAGCACUCGCCGUAACUGAAUCUGGAAAAAAAAAACAAAUGGAGAUUCAUGAACACGUCCCCAACUCACAACUCUGGCUUUGUUAGACGAGAUGGCACGAGAGCCGCUUGUUCUUUUUGAGGGGCAUGUACAACUCAAAGAAAAUCAAGAGAAAUCGGCAGCCAUAGCAGAGCGCCAUCCUGCCCCGGGGCCCGGGUUUGUAUAACCUGCAAAAAGGUUGUUUUGUUGUCUAUUUGCAAAUAAAAAUACACCCUCGUCCUGAUCUUGUGGAUGCCAACAAAUCGGGCUUCUCUCCCAUCUUGGUCUAGCGGGAGUAAUGGCGCCGUACAUGCCAACACCUCACAAAUUCAGCUUGCAUCCACAGAUGCAGGCUUACUAGUCACUAGUCAGAAACUCAUUCAGCGUACCGCAAUUGUGGUCUAGCAAACGCUAUAGCUCCCCUCGUCCAUGAUAAUAUACGGUUCGGUGCAACUCUACCAAGGCCCAAAGCAAGCAACCAAGCACACCCUAUGUGAAUCUUUAACCUUCCUAUCACUCUCCUCGCAUCUUUACUCUCCUCGCAUUACAUGUACAGUACAACAUGAAGAAUGCCAACACAGACAGUAUACUCUACAGCAGUCAGAUCCUGCCUACCAGUCAUCGCUAAAUCGAAGAAAAAAAACCUGUCACAGUUCAACAGGGCUAGGCUACCAAAAAUGUCACUGAGAUUGGGGGUGGAAGUAUUGCAUUCCAGGAGGGGGCGGCUGCAUUGGCCUGAAAGGCGGCACGCCGGGCUGCUGAAGGGCGAACUGCAUCUGCGGCGCCAGGCUCAUCGGCAUCUGCUGCUGAAGCAUGGGCGGCGCUGGAGGCUGUGUCUGCGGCAUGAUACCCAUUUGCGGCUGGGGUGCCGUGAGUGAGGGCCUUCCAAGGUUCAUCAUCUGGGUCGGUGGUGGAGGCGGGGGCGGGGUCAUGGUGCUCAUGUUGUAAGGCAUGCCCAUCAUCACACCCCCAGGCUGCUGGACAAACUGCUGGGAUGGGGCCUGGUACAUAUUGUACUGGGGAUGGGGUGCAGGGGCUUGGCUCUGCAUAGGUGCUUGCUGUACUAACAUUGCCUGGGGCUGCUGCUGAGCUGUUGUGGCAACCACUUGUGGCAUGGGAACGAAAGCAGCAGCAUUCGCGACGCUUGGUACCUGCAAGGUUUGGUCAGUCUUUUGCCUCUUAUCUGAGGCUGAGCGCGUUUCAGAUGAAUUCUUCGCUUCUUCAGCAGCAAACUUGGAAAGUGCAGACUGCAGUAUCUGCUGAGAGUUUGAUGAUGCUGCAAUCUUGUCCGCGAGAAUAGCAGCAGCUGUCUUCUGCUGCUCCUUUGCUUGCCCAUUGGGAAGCGCCUUUCCUGGCUCUGCUGACGAAGCUGCGUGGGCCAGCGGAAUGGUUGGCUCAUUCUUGAGUCUCCGUUGCAUGUUGGAGGCUUCAUGUACCAUUGCUUCAGCCAGCUGCCGAUUGGAAAGUUAAAAACAUAAGAAUGGCAACUGUUUACAUCUUACAGAACAUUACAAGCCUGUAAUGACAUUUCCAUGGUUUGGGGGGAACGUUACCUGUAACUGAGUGCGGACUUUCUCCAAUUCGGAUUCCUGGUUAACAUAAACAAGUAAGAUUUCAUAUCUCUGUAGCCAAAAUACAAGUAACGAUGACAACUUGACAAGAAAAUACAAAUUCAAGGAAAAUAACUAAAUGCAUCAUAACUAGUUAGGGAUCACGUUGUUCCAACCUGCUCCUGCAAUGCCUCCUUCAAUUCAGAUACAACAGCUGCUCUAUUUGCUUCAACUACUUUCAGCUUUUCAAUGCAUUUUUUCAUGUUAGCCUCCUCAUCUUUUAAUUCUGCGCAAAGAACCUCACGGCGAGGAUCUUCAGCUGCAUACAGAGAAAAUCUUAAGAACGUCUACUAAGGUAGCAAAAAUGCAGGACUCGGCUCAGGUUGACAAACAACUAUUACCUUUGCUACAUGCACUGUCAACAUCCUUCUCCAACUUUCCAACACAACGCAUAGAAGUCUUGCAUUUUUCCAGGUCAGCAUCUUCAUCUGCUUGUUCGCUGUGAACAGUAUGCAAUGCAGAUACAAUUUUCUCUGCAGUUCCUCCGACACCUAGUCUCUGAUCAAAGACAGUGAUAAAAUUUGAGAGAAUUUCAUAGCAAUGAACAAUUGUUAAAACAAAGUCUAGCAGGAGUAGAAAUCUUACAAGUUUUAUAGAACGCGAAUCUCUUUUAACAAUCUUUAUGGCCGAAAUGUGAGAGCGCUUUUUUGUCAUAUCUAAAACAGGAAGAGGGGCAGCUCCAAGCAUCACAUCCUUGAUGCCCCCAGCACGUGAACCAAAAACUCUCCUUUCUUGCCAUAUGUCAACCUAGGACACACAUUGGUACGUUACUAAUAGGUUUUGUAGCUGCACGGCAAUAUUAACAGGGUACUCGUGUAUUUUCAAAAGAGAUAUGCAACAGUAAUUGGCCAGCUCAUAGCAUUGAUAUACGGUACUCACCAGCCUAGAUGCCACCUUCUUACCACGAUCAUCACCAUUCUCAGUUACAUCUUUAAGCGCCCCAGGGAGUACCUUCCAAAAUUCUUCUACAAACUCUGUCCCAUUGCGCUUGCUGUUCUGUAAGAUGUCAUUAGCAAGAUAAAGGAAAGGGACCUGCUGCUCCUUGCUAGAGCUGUGGAAUUGCUUGUCCCAAGUCUGGACGAUUUGCUCUGCAUUCUUUCUAUGAUAAAUGCACCAAUGCGACAGCGCUAGUGGUCACGACGAGCAAAAGUCAAGGCAACAAUCAGAUAACAAGAUUACAUGUUGUGACAAAGAAAUCAAUCUAUUUACCCCUAGAUAUAUGAAAAGAUUUAAAGUCAUACUGUUCCAGUAGGCAUUCUAUAAAAAGAAAAGUCGUCCAAGUCGUCAAGAAUCUAUCUGAAAAUAGUGUAGAACGGACACAGAAGAAUUUGCAUUUCCAGGCGCCUAAAAAUUGCUAUCUUGCGCACUACCUCCCUAUUCGCUAUUCAAAUAGACAUCCUUUUGAACGAAGCUGACAGCAAUUCGACGGGCGCAAGAUUACGCGCAGACAAAAAGAGAUGUUUCUACAGUCUAAUGACACAGAAAAGUGAGGCUAAGCGCAGAAAUUGCAACUUCACAGUAAACUUCCCGUAAGCACCACAAAACAACCCAAAAUCCACAGAUUUGGCCAGAGAAAAGCAGGGCAAGGAUACUCUCGAUGCAUUGCUGAGUGUUGUUGAGCUUGGCGAGCUUGUCAGCGAGUAUGUCCUCGCUGAACGCGCUGUUCAUGGCCGCCCGAACAGCACGCAGAGCUCAAAUCGCCGACGCGUCGCGCAAAUCUUGGGGACGGGGAGGAAGCGGGACCGAUGAACCCUAGAAGGAAAGCAUGCAAGGAGACCACGGCGGCGGUGGCGGAGGCAUCGGCCGCCAAAAUUUCGAUGUGAAGAUGGAUCGGGGAGGCUAGGGUUUGGGGUGGUAAGAACUAAGAGGAGUGUAAGCGCGAUUCAGAUCGGCUCAGGCGUUUUGCUUGUGUGUUGCUUUGUUUUUUUUCUUUGGAUGCUUUAUUGAAAAAAGGGAUCUUCAACUUAUUAUCAUUCUAGUCAUCAAAUUACAUAAGUUUUAAAUUUAGACCAAGAAUGGCAUUUGGGGAAACAAAUAAAUACACUAGCAACAAGACAUUAUGUGACAUCCAAAUGUUCAAAAUAAAUAAUGACCUUACACGUAUGGAUGGAAUUUAGAUUAAAUAAGUAUACAAACUAAUAUUUCAUCUCAAAGGAUAAAAUUAUGUAGCUUCCGUAUUUUAUAUAUGUUUUUCAUUCUUACUCGCCUUGACUUCAAUUCAUAUUACAUUUUCUAUAUAGGUGAUUACACACACUUAGCCAAACGAGCUAAAUUUAAGCUUUUGCUUUCUCAUACCAACCUUACGUUACCGUCAAUCAACAACCUAUUUAGCGUCUUUCACAGUGAGAUGUCUAUAGCGCCUUCGUCAACCUUGAAGAUCUAUGUAGAUGUAUUUUCGUAAAGAUGAGUGUGCAUGUAUGUACGUGAGCAUAUACAUCUGUAUUUAUAAAAAGAAAGCCAAUGACAAUGCGGCGUAGAACCGCAGCCCAACUUAACCACGCAUGAAGCUCCGCCCCUAUCGGGCAGUGUGACAAGGACACAAAGUAGCGGGGAGCCAGCAGCCAUGAGCCAAGUCGGGACACAAACUAGAGGACGGGUUCAAAGUGACAGUAGAGACAUCGCUGGGAAAGGUGGAGCCGUGGAGGUUUGGGAGGCAGCGGCAACGACGGUUUUUUAGGGGCACCGGCGGGUAGGGGCGGGCACCCAAGAGAAGCACAACACGGGCGGCUCGAGCGUUGCCUGCUCCUUGGCAUUGUAAAGGGCCUAUGCUUGGCAUUGUAAAGAGCCCUUUCGUGCUGGACGAUAUGGUCUGAACGAAAAGCUCGAGCAGUUCUGGCUUUGGGCUCUAUCGUCUCCUUUGCCAACAAGUCAUAAUCACUCCCAUUAGCCAUCAUAACCAUUCAGUUUCAGGAUAGGUUGAAGUGCUACCAAAUUUCCAAUGAAGCAAUUAGCUCGUUCCCAAAACAACGCAGUUAGAUUAGCUGGGAUUUUAGUGGAUUGCAAACGUAAAAUACACACAAAGAUGCAAAACGAAUUCAUUACUGCAGGUGAAGUGAACAGCAGAGACUUCAUGGUCGAUUCUGUACGAGAUAAGAGAUGGCAUAUUCAAUCUCGAGACCUUGAUGGCAUAUUCAAUCUCGAGGCUUUCAUCACUCAGGUUGAAUUAUGUUAGCGAAACAUCUGUUCAACACCACAGAAGCAAGCAACAAUGACAAAGAGUUCUCCCUAAUUGCCUCAAAUCAUAAAGCCCCUACAAGCCCACACGUGCCGGUGCCGCAGAACGUGUGGAGCCUUCUUAACUCUAAAGGAAAGUUCGAAUGCGACGACAUGACGGAAAGCGAACCAGGACUCAGCACAUGGUAACUAUUGCCGAAUUGAAGAUCUUCACUUCUUCCUCUUCUUUGGGGGCUGGAGUGAGUCUUCAUCAUCAUCUUCCUCCUCAUCCUCAUCUUGGUCAUCAUCUUCCCCUUCUACAGCCUCGUCGUCGUCUUCACCGCCAUCUUCAUCAUCGUCAUCAUCAUCAUUGUCAUCGUCGUCGUCGUCAUCGUCGUCACCACCACCGCCUUCCUCCUGGUCUUCUGGUUCUUCCUCAUCUUCCUCACCAUUUUCCUCAGCAUCACCUCUUUGUUUCUUCUUGUUCUCGUUGCCCUUUGGGUUAUCAUAUCCCUCUCCUUCUGAGAUGUCCUCUUCUCCUUCUGAGAUCUCCUCUUCACCCUCCCCCCCAAAGUCACCAUCUUCGUCAUCGUCGUCACCACCGUCAUCUUCAUCACCAGCAUCAGUGGGUUCAAGCUCGUCACUCUUCUUUCCGCUCAUCUUGAAGUCAGGCAUACAAUAGAUAGGAUCCUGUACAUUGAUCAAGCAAAUAUCCAGAAUGUCAACAUUAAGAACAAAGCUAAAACACUAAGGAACGGAAAUUUAUAUAGCCCAAAGGGUAAGAUACUAAGGUGGAUAUGUUGAGAAUGCUUGAACACACAUCUCAAAAACACAACAGAAGGGAAGAAAUAAUCAAAUGGCACCAUGGAAACCAAACCAUAUGUACAGACACAAAUAGCUAGCUAGCCAAGGAAAAAAAACUUUCGAUAGCCAAGAAACAUCACCUUAGGCACAGCACAAGCAGCAGACAAUUAGGUUUACAAGGUAAAAUAGACGUCUGAUCUCAAAUAGCAAGAACAGUACACCAAUGUGCAAUUAUAUGGUCCAAGAGUUCUGAUAUAGCAUUCCUGUGGCCGUCAUAGAGGGACAAAAAGCUCAUCCCGCUUUUAUUGUCCAGGUGAUGAUCCAAGAUACAUUUUUUUUCAUUCUUACUGGAUGGCUUCUAACUUGUAACCAGCUAAAGGCGGGUAAUUCAGAAGGCUUGAGCCAUCAAAGAUGGAUUUAUUGUACUUAACAUUGUGCUGUGUCCAUGAGUGUAAAAUAGGAUAGUUUGCUGCAGAACUGGCCUGGUACAGUCAACCAUAAGCAUGUGGAUGACUGGAUCUAACGAACAAUGACUUGGUUUUAACUUGUAACCAGCUAAAGGCGGGUACCAGUCGACAUGGUAGAUGACUGGAUCUAACGAACAAUGACUUGGAUCCAGUGCAACUGUUCAUGUACCAGCUCUGGAGGGUAGGCUGAAGAGUACAACUACCCGGGGCCACAUGUCAUCGAGGGGCCGUACAGAUGAGGGUAAGAACUAGCUUUCAGUUCCCACCCUGAGCCUGAGGCCGAGGUAUCUAACCCCGCUGGAAAUUUACAAACGGCUUCAGCAAUGAUAGAGCAAAGGGACCACGUCAAAAAUAUCUCAGUUAUGAAGGAACCUGACUGCAAAAUAACUACACUGCAAGGCUCUUGUGUCGCAGUCGCAUCUUCCUACUGCAAAGUGCAAACCGCAAGCACGCGGACCAGGGGGGACAGCCAUGGCGUUAAAGAAAGGCUUUCUCUUCCUUACGGAAGUACAAAAUUAUGUACUGAAAAUUAGAUGCACAACAAUUUAGAGAAAAAGAAGGAUUUAACCGCAUAAUGACACUACAACAGAAACCAGAUCACUUUCUAAUCAUCUUGCUUAGUAGGUAAGCCACUGAAUGAAACUGUCCAGCAGUUUCUUGUUAUUUUCUGGGGGGGGGGGGCGCGAGAGAAGCCUUUGAGUUGUUGAUGAGGAGAAAAAAAAAAUAUCUUAGGAGGUAUCUAUUGGUGUCGUGGGAAGCGAAUAUUCGGGCGCGGGGUAGGCACGUAAUUAGCAAGCAACAAGAGGGCGCUUUUUAUAUCCUGUGGUCCGGUGGGCCCACCCCCACGGAACUCAAAUCCCCAGCCGGAAACCACACCCUAAACCCACCCCCACAAAUCCGCAUCCGAAAAGUCCGAAACAAAGAACAAUAUCCCACCCACUCGACGGCCCAAAGCAGCCUCGCACCAGUAUGAUAUUUUCCUCGAAAAAACAAAGGAAAAGGGCAAGCUAAUCGGGGAGAAUAUAUAUAUAUGUAUAUAUCACAGAAUCAAAAGGACCAGAACGGCAAGAUGAAACAGGGGCAUGCCAGUGAUUAUGCUGGUUGUUUUACCUCGGCGACGUCGGCGCCGAGCGGCUUCUCCAAGACGGCGGCGUCGCCGGCGCCGGCGUGGACGGCUCCGGUGGCGGCAGCGGGCGUCAUGGUGUCCAUCUGGACGGCUGCAGAGGCGGCCACGCGGACAUGCACAGGGAACAAGGUCCGUCAGAUGGGACAGUAUACCGUUGGAGGCAAACCAGGAAAACUUAAAAACUGGCAGCGGUUUACUUUCCCAAGACCAAGCGAAAGGCCUUCAGCCUGAGAUUUUGUGCCCCCCUAAUUUUAGCAAAAACCCAAUCUUAGAUUUGCUCGCAGAGCACAAGUACAACUGUCAGGCAAAGAAAGUUCUGGCGACUUGGGGGGGAAAAUUGGAUAAAACAGAGAUGAACAUGAGACGAACAAGAUGGUACUUCAUAUCUCAAGAACAGAGCCUCAAAUGUUAAGACAUGUCUCUGUUCCGCAAGAGAAAUAUUUCACAAACAUGCAUAUAAAAGGUUCAGGCUAUGAAAGAGAUAAAAACUACCAUGGCUCCAUGCAUGAAACUACAAACUUUAGGCGUUAACAGAGGCAACAGAUAGGAUAAUCCUCACCAGCAAGAACAUGAAGUAAUUCAGUGUGGCCAGACAAGAGACAGGGGCAGGGAGGUUACCUUUGUGUCGAGGAACUGGAACUAGGCGGCGCAGAUCUGAAGGUUUCAAGGAGGCUACUAGUACUCAACGGGCAGAACUAGGCGAACUCCGUGGCUGCAACGGGAGGAUGGAGCAGAGGAAAGGAGGAGACUUUUUCACUCUAGAGAGGCCGGAGGGAGAGGGCAGAGGAGCCGGGCAGCUCGGGCAGGAGGGGCAGGGCAGGUGGUGGGCGCAGGAUAGGCCGGGCCAAGCCGUGGCAAUUGAUGGGUGGAGGGCAUAUGCGUAAAUCACUUGUUUCCCCGGGGCCUGAAGAGAGAUCCUGUGGACUUAGACAGUGAAGGAAAAAAAAACUGAACGGCGAAUCAGACGGCUAGCGUUACGCACGGAUUAAUUAAUCCGCGUUAACCUUGGACCGUCAUCGCGUGGGGGUGCGCAACAGCGGCUUUGGCUUCCCACUCGGGGCCUGACCACCACCGGACGCUUUUGAAGCCUGAACUUCUCGGGUCUGAGAGACCAAACCAGACCGAAUUCAGCUGGUAACGGAGGGCAAUUCCUCACCAACGUCUCGGACAUGACGUGAUAUACCAAGGUUUCUUCUCGUGAAUAAGAGGAAAUUCAGUGCAGAAAGACAUGCAUUGAAUAUCACCGUGAGUAGGUGGGGACAGCGGAGAGCCGUGGAGCCAUCACCGAGAAGCACGCGCUGCGGCAGAGUUUCUUUGAUUUACAAGGUAAAAUCUGGAAAAAGAUCUGUGCUAUGUCAGGACGACGCCCACCUGUUUCCGGCAUGCAAAACCCCAACGCCUUUUGUUUAGAUUUUUUUUAAAAAAAAACUAAAGCCCGUGCGGCGACAGAAUAGACGUCUCAAUCAUCCCUACGGGAGUUUAACCGAGGAAGUCGCAGCAAUGGGUGGGUCAACACAGCACCGUGCCGUGCCACCAAUCCUGUCGGCAGUAAGCACCGUGCGUGUUGAUAAAACACUCAUCUGCAUGAAACUAACCAGAAAGGCAAGGCAAACGAAACCCAACAGGCGAGCAAGGGGAGGAAAAAUAAAGUAUCAUCAGACAAAGCUUCAGCGAGAGCAUCAGGCUACUUGCAUGCUGGAUGCCUGUGUAAAGGAAAGCUGUGCAAAUUAGUGGGGGCGACGGGAAGUCUGGAAUGGGAUUCCUUUGUUCUGACGGUCUAAACAUCUUCAACAGCAAUUGAUGAAUGUUCAAGUCCGAAUCAUUCGUAACAAGGGUAGUAAAACUCAUACCUUUCCAAAUUGUCUGAGGCAGCAACUGUGCUGGAUGCAUUAUAUCAUAGCUCUACUCCUUGUAGAACAGGCCACACCGUGCCCAUACCAAUAAAUAGUUCAUGUGACGAAAAGCAUGUCCACGCAACUCAGAUUCUAAAAUAUAGCUGAAGAUCACAAAGUGACACAGGUUACAAGAUGCUUUAGCAUUCAUGGUCAAGAGUCAGAACAAAUUAUCUCUGACUGAGAUCCCUUAUACUUAAUUGUGUUUGGGCAAUCUAAGGAUCAAACAAGUUCCCUGAGAUUUUCAUCUUAGAUUUAAUUAAGACUGUACUGAGCUGAAAAACCUAAAGAACCACAAGAACUUGGAGCGAUGAGUUCAAACACAACUCUGAAAUAAGCCCAAUCAAAUUGUUUGCUGUAUAAGAACGACCAUGUGCUCAAGAGAGGCUCAUAGAAACUACAUUCGGUAGGGAUGCAAACAUGAUUAUAAGUAUAGAGGAACACAACAAUAUCAAUAGAACAUAUGAUACGAGGUUGAAUAGUUCUUCAAUGGUUAGCAAGACAAUCAGGCACAAAAGGCAUAAUCAUGACAGUGAUAAGCAGAUCUAAAGGAACGUUGUCAUUCGAUCACCAGAGAGUAUAAUUAUGUAAGCAGCAAAUAGCUUUGCUGACAAUGAAGCAAAAAACUAGAAGGGGCCAAAAAUAAAGGAACAAUCAUUCUGCAAGUAGUGUCAUGUGAGACUAAUUAAAACAUUUAGAACUGUUAGCUAUCAACUGUGAUGACAACAAAGGAAUAAAAGACAACUGUCGUCAUAGAAUAGAAUACCAUUCUACACUUAUCUGCAAAACUUGGGCAGGCCAGAAGGCAUAGUCAAUGGGGUCAAUUGUGCUGUAAUGUUUACUAAGAAGAAUUUGCUAGUGCUAAGAUGAAUUAAUGGAUUAAGCAAAAGUUGCCAGGAGCUGAGAUCGGCACAUGGGCUUGAGUCUGAAGAGCUGGGUGCCCAUUAGUCUAAAACCCCAAAGAAAAGAAAUAACAGAAAUGUCAAACAGAAGGUGACCUAGGCCUGGCCUGUGCCACCUAGUCAUAAGGCAGAAUGGACAAUGGACCCUUAGAACACCCCCCCCCCCCCAAACCCCUCCUUGCCAGCACCAGUUAACUGUCUCCUUACACCAACUAGCUGAAGUGUGCUUUUGGCACUAUUUGAGCUAUUACUGUGUUUUAGAAAUUGCAAUGUGAUAAACCAUGUUAGAUCAAUUUGUCAUGUGCCAAGUUCCAACUGUACUACUUCAAAUGUAGCAAUAUCAUUCAUAUCUAGAAAAAAGCAUUGCCCAAAAGCACCAAGACAAAACAACCACGGCCAGCCAGUCAUGUAGAUCAUAAAUAACAAAACUAUUUUCCAUGUUGAAAUAAAUACAACAGUUCCAUAGCCCAUGAAAGUACUGCUACUUUCAUGUUCUGAAAAGAAAACAUAGUAGCCUGGUUGCAUGCAUAAGGAUUACAAAUUAUUGAUAUGACUUGGCAGUUUCAUCCUGGCCUAUUCAUGAGUUCCCAUGAUGACUCAACAUUUCAAAGGUCAGCAUUGAGCUUCUAGAGAGGGUUCAACAGCUUAGUCAUCUACCAGCAGUAAGAACAAAUUCUAGUAAUAUCUUUCUCCCCUUAAACUUCAAGGAAGAGAAGGGCAAAGCAUAUACCAGUGUUUUGCCAACGGCACGAAGCGAAUCUUGCAAGCCAGCCUAGCACUACGCCUAGAUUGAUAUUCAAAAGAACUACUACGUACGGUAUUCACAAGAACAAUUAAGUUGAGAGGAGCAGCAAAAAACUGGACGAAAGCAGUGGGAAGAAAGCGAUGCCCGGGCGAUGGUAGUACGAAAAGCUCGAAUCCUUAGGAUUCCGGAUUAGAAGUAGCUCCGGCUGUGGCUAGAAGGCAGUUAUCUAGUAAUUCGAAGUCUUAUGCCUUAUUGAAUCUAACAGGAAGAUUGCAAGAACAAUCUUUCAAUUGUACUUAUCCAUCGUAUCCUAACAUAAGCAAUUAAUGGAAAAAAUCAACUUAAAGUGGAGGUAUAGUUCAGGAAACGAAGGGGCUAAUUUAAUUAGUAAUCCAGUUAUGAAGUGUCAGGGUGACAGGGUAUGAGCGUGUAUAACAAAGUAAUCCUGGCACAAAAAAAAGAGCUCCAACUGUUAUGCUUCAAUUUCAGAGAACAUCUCAAGGUAUAUGAGCACUAAAUACCAAAGAGAGGUACCAUAAGCUAGGUUCUAUCCCUUAAGAUCUCUUUAUAAAGCACGGUACACAUAAUAAAUUCAAUCAAUCUACAUGGCUACUGUUAAAGACCGGGAAAAUUUAGAAAUAAACUUGAAAGGCAACAAAGCUGCAAGAUAUUUGAGAUCUUAAAUGUUGUAGUCCCUGAACCCAACAUCAAAGCAGAAACUUCCAAGUUCCAAGUUGAAGGCAAAAGCCAUCAAUACCCACCCAUACAUACAAACAGCACCACAACUGUAACUGCAAUUAAAAUGUCUUCGAGUGCCCAGAAAAACCAUUUGAUAUUGCCGACGGGACCAGAUAACAGCCAAUUUGUCAAAAUACAGAUAUUUCGGUACAUAAAAUCCAAUACAGAUCAUAAAGUACAUAAUUAAGCCGCAAUAGCAAAACUACAUUGUAGGCAAUAAAAACAACAUAAUUCUUCGAGAAAGUUCCUCCUUCAAAUACUGCCACAAAGGUAUCUGUCAAAUCUGGUAAAGUCAACAGCAGGAACCCUUUCGCAACAUUUUGGCACCAACAUAGACUUAAAAGCCAUCCGAAUGGAAAAUCACAUGAACCAACCACGACCCGCAGAUGCCAAACUAAAAUACAAGGAAACGAAUCAGAAGACUAUAAGAGCAAGAUCAACAAAUCACAAAGAAUGCAUAGAGAAUGAAGGAACUCAAAUCAACAGUAAAAAAGGUGAGUCAUAAAACAAUGUAACAGGUUUAGAGUUAAUAUACCUAGUUCCGUCAGUAUCCACCCUGAAAACCAGUGCCCCCGAUCUGAGCACCAGGCACUUGGCCCUGCCCAGCAGCCCCAGCCUGAUAACCAGCAGCACUGGCAGCAGCCGCUGCAGUACUAGUCUGGGUAGUUGCUUGGCCAACCUGAAACCCAGGUGGCCCUUGAAAACCAGGGGGAGCUCCACCUCCUUGAUAUGCAGCAGCAGCAGCUUGAACACCUGCUGCAUUUGGGAAAGUGGCACCUCCGGUUCCAAAUGCCUGUGUCCCAAAUCCCUGAGCUCCAAAACCUGUAAGACCAGCUGUGUGUGCCUGCUGCCCCCCUGCACCCAGUGCAGCAGCAGCAAAGGCUGGGUUCAUAGCUGCAAGCAUGGCUGGUGUCAUCCCCAGCGCGGCUGGGUUCUGCAUUGCCGCUAUCAUGGCAAGCAUUGCAUUGGGCUGUGCAAAUGCCUGUUGUUGUGCACCUAAUCCCAGCAUAGCAGCUUGCUGUGCAAAACCCAAGUCAGUUACAGCAGUAGUACCGUAUGCUGAUGCAUCAUAUGGGCUAAUGGCAGCACUGGCAGGAGCAGUCAUUUGUGCGGCUGCAGCCACAGAGGCAGUGGUGACAUUAGAAUUAGCAUUCGCAUUUGUCCCAGAUGAGCCUUUGGUCCUCCCAUCUAUAGCUUUCUGCACAUUGAGCAUCUUGCCAUCAAAAUUCCUCACUGGCUCCUCCAAUGCACGGCGGGCACUCUCCACAGACUUGUAAACAAACAAUGCAAAUCCCUUAGGUUUGCCAGUGUUCUUGUCAAAGCCUAAGGGCCCCUCCUCAAUCUCACCAAAUUGCGAGAAGUACUCAUAUAGGCGGUCGACGUCCACAUCAGCAUGCACAUUACCAACAAAUAUCUUGCGUGGCAUAUUAUCGGGUUGCGAGGAUGAGGAGCCAGAAGCAUUGCUGGUGGUACCGGAGUUGGAGUUGGCAUUGGUGUUGGCGUUGGAGCUAGGGUUCUGAGACUGAGAGGCUGGGGGUGCGGGACCUGAGGCGGCGAGGUGGCAGAAAGCAAGACGACCUCCGAUUUGGAGCUGGGGGCGGCGGAGGGCGCGGAGCGCAGCGCGGCGGGAGCGGAAGAGGACGAACCCGUAGCCCUUGGAUCUGCCCGACUGCUUGUCGGAGAUGACGCGGCAGUCCUCGAGGUCGCCGAAGCGUGAGAACGCGGAACGGAGGUCGUCGACGCCAGCGCCCCACCCGAGGCCGUGGACGAAGAGCUUCCUGCUCGCGGGGUCGGCCUCCGCGGCGCGGCGCACGGCCGCCAUCGUGACGGGGCUCGCCUCCGCGGCCGUGCGGAGUAGCGACACGAGCUGCUCCCGCGACAGCGGCUCGAGGAGCUUCCCAAUGUCCUCCGCCUCGUCCUCAUCUUCGACGGCGACCUCGUCCUCGUCCUCCUCGGCAGAGGCGGUGGGCUCGGGGUCGUCGGUGAUGGGGAAGUAGAUGGUGCCGCGGGGCUUGUUCUCGGAGGGUGCCGGUUCCUGGCGGUGGUUCCCGGCGGCUGGCUCCGCGGCGGCGGCGGCGGCGGCGGCGGACUCGGCCGGAUCGGCUUUUCGCUUCUUCGGCGCCAUCGGGAGGCGAACUAGGGUUUAGGCGCACGCCUGUGGUCUGCGGAGGAAGGGAAGAUUGGGAAUUUGGGAUUUCCGGACACUGAUGAAAGGAGAGAGAAAAGGAGGUGGAAUAAAUGUACCAGGCCCGCCUUUAUUAACGGCGAGCUGGCGGCGCCGAAAAGCCCAUGAAAAUUAGGCCAUGCUGUAGAGGCCUUUACUGGAGGCCCAACAGUCAUCCUAAGUUUUCUCCUUGCUAAGGUCGGCCCGGGAUCAUGUGGCCGCCCACAUAGCCCAGAUCAUCCUCCCAAAAAAAAACAUAGCCCAGAUCAUCACUGGAUUUCCAUCCCUUUAAGGCUGCCAUUAUACUGAUUUCUGCAGAAUCACCACAAUUUUGCAUUAGUGUAUUGAAAAUUAAAUUUUGCUAAAGGUGUCAAAGUUCAGCUGCGAGCUUUAUCUGCAGUGAAAACAAGUAGAAGUUGGUCAGAUUUAGAAAAAAAAAUAGCCGUAAGCUGCAUUUGAACAGGAAUCAGUCGCCCAAAGUCAGACCAACAAGAACGAAAUCGGGCAACCCACCUAGUCCAAAGCACAAGGAUAUACUGAGUAUUUUGCGACCAUAUCCCUCCUCAAGGUCCUACCAUCCUUCAGGAAGUGCACCUACAUCUUGUUGGGAGAUGGAAAAAAUAGCUCCUCUUGGUUUGAUCCAUGGUUGGGCGAGAGGCCUCUGGCCGAAGUCCCCCCUUCCCUGCGCUCCUUGUGCAGAAGACCCAACCUAAAUGCGACAGCUGCCUGCUCUGAUGGCACUUGGUCUCUUCCUCUCCACUCAAGAUUGUCUUCCCAGGCCUCUCUCGAGAAUCAGCAACUGGUGAUAGCACCGGCAAAUGCCACACCUAUGGUCGGUAUAUCUGACCGUCGAGGGGUUGGCAAACAGAUACAGCCAUUCUCUUCUUCGGCUUUCUACUCCUGGUACAUGAAUCAAGUCCCUGUGGAGCAAUUCACAAGUCUUGUGUGGUGCAAUACGGCUACCCCGUGUGGUAAACAAUUCCUGUGGCUACUUCAUCGACAGAGGCUACCAACAAGCUCUCUUUUGCACCGAAGAAACAUUGUUGACCACCCAACGUGCCCACACUGCAACCAAGUUGAGGACCAAGAACACAUCUUCCUUCGAUGGCCGGAUGCGGCUAGAAAUUGGAGAUGCCUGGGCUAGGAUUUCAUUCCUCACUUAGAAUCCAUUGCAGCAGUAUGGUCUACCUCAGAGUUCCAAGACUGCCACACCCCUAAGUAUGCAUCCACCGUUGCUACUGCUAUCUUCUGGAACAUUUGGAAGGCAAGGAACUCUCGUCUUCAGACAGGAACAUCACUCUACCAUGCAGGUCAUCAAGGUGACUGCGGCUGAUCUUCAACUUUGGUCCCGAAGAACUCUCAAUGAAAAUGUAAUUGCAAUCUUCUGGUGGAAGAAUUACAUAGGCAGUGUAUUUUGAUUAAUCUAGCUGCUACCUCCCUCUCUACCCCCUUCACACGACAAUGUAUGCAACAACUUGGCAUCAAUGAAGUUCAGACCGUCUCCUUGCCUGCCGUAGUUACAGUCAAAAAAAAUUUGCGACCAUACGCAAAGUUGUACUGCUUGCUCAUUGGCCACAACUACACUUUGACCUUAAAGGUGCACGAACAAUUCAAGGCCGGCCAUGGUGACGCACACAGCGUUCUUCCUCUCCACAAGUUGAGGCUUCCUGAGCCCAGAGCCUCUGGAACGCAGCAACUUGUGCGUCCAUAUGGGGCCCAGCCGAACCCAACCUGGUGCCUGUCCAGAAAAAGAAAAUGUGAGGCAGAGAUGACAUAGGCUGCUCCAUUUUCUGCAUACAUGGCCCAAAUUAUUGGCUCGAGUGGGGGAUGGCAUCGUAUCGUAUUUUCGAGGUGGAGUGCCCCCUACCAAUUCAUUCUCUGUUGGGACCUCGCUCCCUCUUGUCCUCCCAUUUUUCUAUGUUUUUUUCGGAAAGAAAAGGCAUGCUCCCAUGAUUCCAUUUAUUUAUAUGUAUCACAAAUAUUUCUGGUAUCUUCAGAAAAGAGAAGAUAAAGGCACACUGGAUUGCUGUAAAGGAGUCGUGUUUUCAGAGAAAAUGGGUGUGCCGUGUUGCUUGCUGACAACACUACGGCAGAUAGGUAUGGUAGCGAAAAGAAAGUUGUUUGGUAAUCUGGUUGUAGAUGAAGGAUGUUAACAUAAAACCUGAUAAAAAAAUAGACUUCCAAUAAUUGUUGCGUCGAGCUUCGUUCCUGAUCAGUGAUCACUGAUGAAGCAAAUCGCUGCCCAUCCCAUUGGCAGGUAUAGUGUGAAGACACUUACUACACCAUUUUUAAACCGAGAGAGAGAGACAUGCGUAUCUGAACAUGUAUCAGAGAGUGAUCAUUUUGGCCGUUGCAUAUUGACUGACUGAUGCUGUCCAUGAUGCAUAUCUUGUGGCCAUACCUAACAGAAUUGCAUAUGCAAGCAUAUCUGAAGUCUGAACAGGUCUCCGACCAAAGAGAUCAGCCUGCGCAGAUGCAAAUCAUGCGUGCACUGCAUACAAAGUCAGUCAAAAGUUGGGGGUUCCUUGGAUCAACACGAAAUGCCUUCCUUCGUCCAGUGAGCAUCUCUGCAGCUGCACCAGCAUGCCUUGAUAGUUGAUACCCAAGGUGAUCCCCUUU
Molecule: long non-coding RNA, 74756 nt
Filed under: Panicum hallii
Lineage: Eukaryota; Viridiplantae; Streptophyta; Magnoliopsida; Poales; Poaceae
Description: long non-coding RNA (PHAL_LNC000743)
Source: RNAcentral